UGUUGAGUCAUUUGACAUUGAUCUGAAGGAGCAGAAGGUGACAGUGAAGGGAAAUGUACAACCAGAUGAAGUUCUGCAAGCUGUUUCCAAAACUGGGAAGAAGACUGCAUUCUGGGUGGAUGAAACACCAGCUGAAAACAAGCCUUCAGAAACUGCACCUGUUGCCGCUGCUGAAAAUGAUACCAAACCUUCAGAAACUGCACCUGUUGCCUCAGAAAUCAAGCCUUCAGAAACUGAACCUGUUGCCUCAGCUGAGCCUGAAAACAAGACUUCAGAAACUGCUAUUGAAACUGUUGCCUAAGGCAUUUGGCCUUGUAGUUUUCUGUGUGAAAGUAGGUCUGUUUUCAAAUGGUACUUUACAUGCUUUCUGCAUAUCAGCUGUUAUAUUUUGUGUGAUGCUACUGAUAUAUAAUCGCUGCAAUAACUCUUGGCCUGAGUUUCACAUAUGAGACACUUUUCAAGCAUGUUAUAACUAAGAAUUUUAACUUGUAUUUCUCUUGGCCUCUUCUUACUCUUAAUCUUUUAAUAUUUCAAAAGGUUGCGCUUAUUGUUUUUUAACAUGGAAUAACUCUAAUUUUAAAGAAAUGUAUGUCACAGAUAAUUUUACCUCAUUACUAUUUUAAAUUGUUUUCUAAAUGUCAAUUUUAAUAAGUUUUAUUAUGAUUAUAAGAAUAUUAUUUAUUAAUUAUUUCAAGUUAAUAAUUUACAUACAUAAAGUCUGAUUGCUGGCUAAGGUAGAUUGUAUGUUUGGGAGACCGUUAAUACACUCUCCAUUACACCAAAUAAAUAAAUAAAAUAAAAUAAAAUUGUAGCUUUAGCUUUGAACUUGAGUUGCGAUAAUUAUUAGAAAGUGAGUUUUUACGCCUAAUUCAACCCCGCAAAACCGGCUUGUAAGGUGAGGUUUGCACCUACUUAUAUAUACUUAAAUGGCCUCAUCUUUAGUCGAUGUGGGACUUCCAACACACCCCCCUCACGCGAGGUAUAUACAUCUCGAAGUUAGGCUUAAAGUUCACUUCUAACAUGGUAUCAGAGCCAUGAUUGGAGCCCAUCCUAGUGAUUUCUGUUGUCAUUGGGCAUAUUGUUCCACCCGCUAUCGGGCCGCUAUCGGACCACCCAUUAAAAAGUCUAAUCCCACGCUCGAGAUGUAUAUACCUUGGCGUGAGGGGGGUGUGUUGGAAGUCCCACAUCGACUAGAGAUGAGGCCAUUUAAGUGUAUAUAAGUGGGUGCAAACCCCACCUUACAAGCCGGUUUUGUGGGGUUGAGUUAGGCUUAAAGUCCACUUAUAACAAUAAUGAUAAUUCUUUCCCGAACACACCCAUAUCAAGACCUAUUGUUAUCAAAAGGAUAAUGAUAUUCUGACGUAUUUUUUUUUUUUUUUUACUUUUUAACUCCAUCACAUGUCAUGUGGUUAUUAGAACAGUUAAAAAAAUGACAUGGAAAGAUAAGAAUUAGGGAUUUCAAGGAUUUUGGUUUUUGAAGUUUGUGGUAUUUGGAUUUGAAAUUUCAUUUCACAUUGCAAGAGAGGGGACUAUACGAGAGAGGGUUGUACGAUGAUGUUCAUCGAAUUUGCAAUCGUUGUUCACCAUUCAUCGUUCAUUUUGCUGUAAUCGCCAUUUUGAAGUAUCAUUGAAGGUCGAAACCACCAUUGACCGGAGUUUUGUAAGUUUUUGUUGCUCAUUUCAGUUUUGUUUUGUUGUUGUUGUUCGGUUAUUUUUGACUUGUUUUCAAUUUUUUCAAUUCUUUCGUUAACAUUUUGGGUUGUUUUGUUUUUUGGGUGUUUUUCUGAUUUUGGAGUCCUUAUUUCGUAUAUUAUAGGUAUUGUUGCAAUGGAGGAAAUUCAUGAACAGAGUGAACUUUGUAAUGACAGGAAGAAGAUAUGUAAGGUUAUACUAUAUUUCGAAAAAGUUUUGGCUUUUUUUGUAUUUAAAUAGAAACGAUAUUUUUAUAUGCAGUUUGUUUUUAGAUACUCCUGUAACACAAAAUUUAUAAGUGGUUGGAAUCAAAAUUUGAGUAGUGAACAAAAGCAUUAUAUUGAGAAUACAGUCUUUGGUUGGUUAUUAGGGUUGCUAGAGUCUAUGGGUGAGUUUUGUUUUGGGGACAAAAUUGUUGAAUUUAAUGAAUUCGAUGUAUGUUUAGGGUUAGGGUUGCCUGUAGUUGGAGAAGUAAUAGAUUUAAGUAAACUUGGAGUGGAGUUGAUAUUGUGUGUAGGAACUACUUACUUGAUGGAAAGGUUGAUGUUAAGAUGGUAUAUGAGUUAUUGUUGGAGGAACGUGAAAAUUUUCCUCUAGAACAUUUAUGUAGCUUGUACAUAUUAGUAGGGAUAUCAAAUUUUUUACUUCCUAAUCAUAGUGGAAUAAUUUUCCAAUUAUUUUUGACAUUGUUGUUGAGUUGGAGUGUAUGAGUAAGUACAGCUCGGGUAGUUUAGUUUUUGAGUACUUGGUGGAAAGUUUAUGUAGUGCUUCAACAAUAAUGAAGAAUGAAAGAGGCAGAACCCACUUUCAUGUUAUUGGACAUCUGAUGCUCCCGUAUGAUCAUUGAGUCCUUACUUAAACUCUUUACCAAAAGAGUAUGGACAACACUCGUCCAAUCAUAAUCAUACAACCUAUCAAUGUCAUCUAAUAUUACACAUGACAUGUUACUAACUGCCUUGGAUUUCCUAGGAAAAUAAAAUAGAAUAAAACAAACUAAAAUAUACAAACGACAUAUACAAUCAACAUCGUUCUUAUUAUUUCUUAUUAUGAAUUUUAUCCUAUUUACAACGUCUUUUAGAGUUAAUGACUUAUAACUAAACUAUUGGCCAAUAACACCACAAACAUUGUCAUCAAAUUUAACCUCUAAACCCCUCACACCCAAUCCUAAACCCAUGCAAACAUCUGUCAUAGUAAAUGAUACCAUUCUUUGCUUCAGAAGGAAGGAUUCAUUAUGCCCAACCCACCGACUGAACAUUUCCUUCAACAAUGGUGUGCAUAUGUCAAUCAACCUAUGCAUAUAAAGACACCACUUGAACAGAGUCUGACCAAUACGCGAUGGUCAUUGUCCCUUAAUACACCAUUUAUCUGAGUUAUAGGUUUGGUGUCACAUCAUGGUCGCAAACGAAACUACUAAAAAUUUUAAACAAAAUCAACUAUUAAAAAGCAUUAUUAAAAGAAAGCCAUAAAUGUUCAAUAUGACACAAUUACUUACAUUGUUUUCACCUUCUUGUCCAAUGAAAUAUAUUGUUGUUAAACGAAACAUUGUACAAAAGAUAUGUCAAAAUAACCAAACAACAACUCCAAAAUGAUUGUGCAUGUCAAAAAAUUGAAAUUUUACACGAAAAAAAAACCAAAAAUGAUAAAAAAAUGAAAAAAUUGAAAACAAGUCAAAAUCGAACAACAACAACAAAGAAAAAUCGAAACAUACGGCGGAAAUUACAAAACCCACGUCAAUGGUGGUUUGGUCUUUCAACGAUGCUUCGAAACGACAGUUGUUGUAACAUCCCAUUUAAUAGAGUAAAUCUACUAAAUAAAAUAUUAUAGAUUUGAUAGAACAUAGCAAAUAGACAAAAAAAACAUGUAGUUUAUCUUUACAAUUAUCCAAAGUAAUAACUAUAUCAAUAAAAACACAUAUUUGUAGAACCUUCUAAACACAGAGUAUUUUAAAAGAUGUAAACUGUUAUACAAAACGUCUAAUUACUUAUAUAUCUACAUCUAUUAAUGACGAACUGACACCUAGAACAUCCUCUGCUUACACCAAAUGGAGAUCAUUGCCAAAAAGAUUAUAAUACAAAGAGACAUACAAUAAAAAAAGUUAAAUUUGUUAAGAACAAUCAAAAGAGAGUUAGAGCUAUGUGUAAAAAGAAAUGUGAUUUUUUAAUUAUGACUAGCAAGGUAGGAGGCAACCAUAACUUUAGGGUCAAGACACUUGUUGGGCGUCACAAAUGUGGAAGGGUUUUGGUAACAAAAAUGCAAGUGUACAGUGGAUUGCACGAAUAUUAGUUAACAAAUUUAUAGAUGUGGGGAACAUGACAUUGAACCAAAUAAUUGAUGAAAUUAAGAAGACACAUAAUGUUGGCAUAACACCUUGGAAGACUGGAAAAACAAAAGAACUUUUAAUGGAUUGUUUGAUGGGAUGGACAAUGAUAAUAUGCUCGUCUAUAUGACUAUGUUGCUAAAUUGGUUAGAGUUAAGACUGAAACAUUCAAGAUGAAGGUCUAUCAACCCCAACCGACUUUAACACCAAAGUUUGAGUCUUUUUACAUGUAUUUAAAGGGUUGUAAGGAGAGCUUCUUGGGUGGUUGUAGAUACUUAAUUGAUGUUGACUGUAACAUCCCAAAAAUAUAAGUAUAUCUAUAUCAUGUGGAAUGCAACAUAUUAUAAUAAUAGAAAGCAGUUAGGAGUAGUAGCAGAUGAAGUGUAUAUAAUACAAUCAUCCAAAAUAUGGUGUAAGCUCUACUUAUAGCAUAGAGUCUUUCAAAAUGAAAUAAAAGAAAAGGAACUAAGCUGUAUACNUAAAACUAACAGCCUAAACUACUCAGCCGCAGUGUCAGGGACUUCAANAGCAUCAGCUACGUCUAAGACUUGCUCCAGAGGGUCUCUGAAAUCUCUGCUCACAUCCAAAUAGGAUGAUCAUUGCAAAAGAAAACAAACACAAGCAAAAACAAACAACACACAUGCAAGGGUAAGCUAGAAUUCAAUUGAAAACAAGUCAAUGACAGUUAAACAUAGCAAAAUAGACAUACAAGCAAUUACAAUCACAGAGGAACAGUUUUAGUAAAUUAUAAGUUGUGGUUUUAUUAGGUAGUGUUAGUUUUAGACUCGUCCGGACCCGGAAUGAAUAUCGAGCUAUGGCGGGUCAUGCACUUGUGGUGGCCUCUACUGCUUUGCAAAGCCAUUGCCAAUGGGUUUCACCCUACCACACACAAGGUUAUCCGUUAUCACUCACCUUGGCCCAUAUACAAUGGAGACAACCAAGACUAGGACCCCUACUGCUCUUCACCACAUGAACUAAUCUUCUCUAAGUGAGAUUGAAUAGUCAUUAGAGCUUUAAGGGCAACCCCCAAGACUGAGCUACCUAUAUUCAUUCNAGAAACUUAACUUGAAUNACUCAUUCUUGGCCCAUAUAAAAUGGAGACACCCAAGAUUGAGCUUCAUAUAUUCAUUCUCAUAACUUAAUUUGAUCUCACCUAGAGAUGUAUUUAACUCUUUGAUUCACACUUCAUACCAUACCAUUCUUCACUCACUUUGAUUCUUAAGUUUUUAUAAGUUUUUGUGUUAACUUAGUUUAAUUUGAUACACAGUCAUUUUGGGGUUAGAUUGAUUCAAUUCCAUACAAAUCCUACAUAAUUAACUCAUACAAUACAAAAAAAGAAUUAUACAAUGCUAGAAAUAAGUCAUACAUUACAUAUUUUCACAUAAACAUCAUUUAUUAAUACCACUUUCUUUAUCAACUAUAAUUACCUAUACUUAAGUAAUUCAAAUGGUUCCGAAACCAUCACCAACGGUUCCGGAAGGGUCUAAAACCCCCAAAACGACCUAAAGAACGUCCAAAACGGACGUCCGGAACCCCCCAAACUAUCAAAAACAAAAGCACCCGCAGAGAACUGCGCCCAACGCCAUUUAGUGGCGCCCAGCGUGACUUUUCCUGCUGGAAACAGCAGGAAAUGGCGCCCAGCGCCAGUUUUGUGGCGCCCAGCGUGACUUUCUGCUGGAAACAGCAGGAAUUGGCGCCCAGCGCCAGUUUUGUGGCGCCCAGCGUGAAUUAUGCAGAUUUUUCUGCAUAAUUGAGCAACUCUACCCCCUAAGUUUUGUUUUAAGCCUUUUGGUGAACUUUGGACACUCCUAACUCGAAAUACAAGUUGAAUCUAACUUGUUUGAAGUCUCACACACCAUCCUAACUCAAAACUCUAAGAGAUAUGCAAGGAAAUUAGAUCUAAAAUACUCAUUUAAUCCCCCUAGGAGCUCAAUCUGAAUUCUACUACUUGGAAACCAUUUUAGACCAUUUUUACACUUCCUAUAAGUCACAAUUGACUUAACUAAGCUGUCUUAAUUACCUAUUUCAAAGCUAGACCCCUAUUUUGCAAUUUCACUACCCAAGUUCCUUAUUUUCAACUCAAACGCUGAAAUCAACUUAGCCAUUUUACUUACAACCUGUAAAACUNAAUUCUUAUCUUUAAACCAUAACUGCACAAUAUAAUCUAGUCUUACAAUUCACAAUUUAUCCAUUACCAAUUCACAUCAAGCACAAACCAUAGAUAUUAUUUUCAGCACAUGCAUUCCAAACAAGNAUUAUACAAUUUUAAUGAAAAACAGUAACCUAAUUUGUUACAAAUCCUUAACAUGCAAUACCUCAAAAACUCCUAAAACAAUUCUACGAAACAUACCCACAAGCUUCAAACAGAAUUUGAGAUUUAGCUUCCCUUACCUGGCUUUGCACAAAACAACUCAAAGCUUGCUACCAAGGUUCCCCAAUUUUUUCAGAAUUCUGCCCCAACCCUAAGGAUCACAAAUUUGUGAUCAAAACAGAAUUGAAAGUGNGAUUUUAGCUAGAAAUUGAAGAGGGAAUGGUCAAGAACACAUGCAAUUGGUAAAUUGCAUGCUCCAAGACUUGAAUCAGUAAAGAAAAGCGGAACUGGCUUACCUCUUCUCCAGAAUCAGAAUUGAGAAUGGAAUUUGAUGAAACUUGGGAGAGUCUUGGCUUCCAAGUGGGUUAAGCAGCUACGAGAGGUAAGUGGAGUGGAUUAGUGUGGAGAUGGGAGAGAUGUGAACCUGGGAGAAGGAAGAACAGCAGAGAAAUUGAAGAGGAGUAUGGUUUGGAGACAAUUUUAAAAGGAAGGUUUAUGUAAGAAAAGGGUUCUUCACAUUGACAAUUGUCAUCUAAAAACAUCCUAUGGUGGUCAAUUAUUAGUGGCAGUGGAUAUAGACCUUAAUGACCAAUAUUUUUCACUAGUUUUUGCUAUUGUUUAAAACAAAUGCAAAGUUUGUUGUUGAUUUAACUAACCAAACCAGUAGUUCUUACUUUUUGGAUUUGGUUGACAUACCUUGUAGACAUAUUAUGGUUAUAAUUCAUUAUAAAUUAGAGAACCUUGAAGAUUAUGCUCAUCCAUAUUACAAGAAACAUGCAUAUGAAAGUUGUUGUGGAUCUUAAAUUAUCCCAAUCAGUGGACAUCAAUUGUCGUCUAAAAGUAAUUGUUCAUAAUACUUCCACCUAUUUAUAAAAAAUCACCUGAGGGCUUAAGAAACUAAGAAGAAGGAAAGUCGAUAAAUAUAUCAUUCAUUCAAAAUUAUCAUAGAAAAAUAUUAUUAUGAAGUGUAGCAACUAUAAUCAAUAUGGACAUAAUAUUAGAAGUUGUAGAAAGGGGAUGAAAACCAAAAAAGUACAACUGCAACUUACAUCAUUUUCAAUAUUUGUUAUUCAUACCAUUUUGUGCAUAUACAUUACACUCAUAACCAUUCCUCAAAUACAACCAUGCACCUGUUCUCCAAAAUAAUUAGCUAAAACUGCAGAACAUGUUGUUAAUAUGCUAGGAAAUGUAAAUUGAUUAGGCUUAAUCUCUUCUUCAUGCAUAUAACAAAAAAACUCAAUUGACUUAUGGCCAUUUCCAUUUUGAGCAUAACCAGUAACCAUGGUAGUUCAUGGCACAUGAUUUCACUUGUCAAAGGCCAAAUCCUUGAAGAGAAUCUCGACUUCCGAAACAUGCAUACAUUUUCCAUUCUUCACAACAUAGUUUUACAUGUUCUACCUUCUACAUUAGUAUGUUCCAUUAAAUAACAUUGUAUAUUAAGAAAUUAGAACAAAUAAAUCUAAGUCUUGAAACACUAAUCCAAUUGACAUAAAAUUAUAAAUAAAUUCAUUUUUUUUUUUACUUUUACCAAAGAUUUAAAAUAGCGGACUGUCUCUGGAAGUUUUAUAUUAAAGGGAUCAUUGCGUUAGCUAUAUUGAUUCUACACCAAUAAAUAAAACAUAAAUAUAUAACAAGAUUAUUACCAUGUUAUCGAUCUUUCCAAUUGAUCGGAAACUCUAACACUCAAUAUUACCCAUUUAUUUUUAUAGCACUAUAAGAGAAUCAAUUCAAAUUAAACAUUUUAUAUAACAAAAGAAAAACUUGAAUAAAAUAAAAUAUUCUAUAAUGAAUAAUUUUACAAUGUUACAUAUAUCUAAAAAACAUGUUUUAUAAAUUGAAAUGGAGUUGAAAAAAAAAAGUAUUUGACUAUUUUUUAAAUAACAUUUUUUUAAUUUGGUAUUUUUUAAAAUUAACUAUUUUUUUUCCAAUCAAAUUAACAUUUUUCUUUUUCUUCAAGGCACCCUCACCUGUUAAAGUUUUGCAUCUUGGAAAGUUGUAUAACCUGUUGUUAGUACACUAAAAUAAUGAAUUUUACUUAUCACUUAUUGAUAAAGUAAAAAAGAUAUAUACUUUGCAUACAAUAUUUUUUACUUGAUAUUAUUUUAUUUUUAUGUUUUUUUAAAUAUAAAAAUUAUUUUUUUAUGAAUAUUUUAUUUUUAUAUUGAAUAUUAAAUAAAUGUAAAAGUAUGUUAUUUUAUCAUUAAAAUAUAUUAAAAAAUAAAAAAAUGACCCAAUUGAAUUUGGAAUAUAUUGGAAAUCAUUAUCACCAAAGAUGAUUAUGUAAACUAUGUCUUUAAGUUUAAUUUGCAAGACACAAUGCAAAUUGAGUUGUGUAAACUUAAAGGAAAAACAAUUAGCCAACAAUAAGUUUGUUACCUGCUUUUUAUUGUAUGAACAUUGCUUCAUAUUUUUCCAAUGUUCAAGUUUCUUUACUUUGGUCUUUCAUUAUUUUUUGAACCAAUUUAGUUCAUUAAUCAUAAGUAUUUAAUUUAAAAGUGAUUCGAUGUACUUUUAAAAUUGAAUAAAUUUAUGGAUGAUUGAAAAUUAAAGGAUCACAAUUACCUAAAUAAAUCAGGAUCAAUAAUAACUAAAAAUUAAGGAAGUAAAAUUGUGAAGAAAAAAAAAGUUAGGUAUCAAAGUUACAGAUUUUAUAGAAUAUACAAUAAAAACUAUAAUUGAAACAACAUUAAAUUAAAUUAAAUAUGGUAUUCCUAGAGCUAAGAGAAAAUUAAAAGAUAUUCCUAAAUUCAAAAAGUUAAUUUUUUUUGUUUAAAUUUAAGUCAUAUAGAUAAAAUUAAUUUUAGUUUUAAAUAUAAUGAUAAAAUACCAUAAUUUUCAAAUUUUUUAAAAUCAUAUACCUUAGCUUUAAAAGCCUACAUCCCAUAACCCUAAUCCUAAUUAAGCAACCCAUUUGAAUCACAAAAUUAAACAGGUGGAGACAAGAUUGUUUUGCUUACUAUUUUUACAGGGGUGAUAUCGUAAAAUUACCUGUUAUUGUCAACUUUUUUGGUACUUUUUUUUUUUUUUAAUAAUUUUAAGACAUUUUAUUUGAUAAAGAAAAAAGUGCCGGCGAAUUUGAUUCACGGCGAGUGUAGCCAAAGCGGUGAAGUGGUGUCACCACGCUGGCUCUGCUUCACUGCUACCUGGGAAUUGUCGUCCCCUUUUCAACACAAACAAAAUACUCUCUUACUUCCAUUUUUUUGCUUCACAUUCCUAAGCUAACAGCCACCCUUUUCGUAGCUUGACCAGGUACGGUCUUUUCCUUGCUUACUUUGAUUCUCUUUCUACUUUACUUGCAUCUUUUUUUUUUUUUUUUUUUUUCCAUUUGGGUCUUCAAAUCUAUUCACAAAUCAUGUUUUUUUAGUCUUUUCUUUCUAAAAAUGUUACCUUUAAGUUCCCUUUGUGCUGUUGUUAAUCUGUUCUUCUAGCUUUUUUCUGGGUUUUGUUUAUUUUGGAUUUUUUUUUAUGGCAUUUGUUUCUUCUGCACUGGCUGUUAUGAAGUAUAAUUGGAAGCACAGUAACCUGCGCUCUGGUGAAUUACUGAUGUCUGCUAUUUUCUUGAUUUUUGUGUUUUAUGUUUUGUAAACGUAAAAUAAUUUAUUUGUUUGUUUGUUUAUUGAUCUCCGGAUUAAUUGGUUUAUGCUUUCUAGCUUGAUUUAGGGUGUGUUUGAUUUUUCUUUCCAAAAUUGUUUAGUUUUUGAAAUACAACUGAACUAGGUUGCUCAGACAGCUGGCUGAGGAUGGUGCAAGGCAUAGGGAGGGUGGAGAAUUGAGUGAGUGGUUGAGCAAAAUGAAAACAUCUCACUUGUAAACAAUUCUCAAAACUUUCUAGAUUUUGGAUGAGAAAUUGAUUACUGGCUGAGUGGUAUGAAAUAUUACUCUAGCAAACAGUUUUAAAACUAAAAUGUGAAAGAGAAUCAAACAAACCCUAAUUGUUUUCUUUUUUUUUCCUCAACGUUGUACAAAGUAAACCUGCAAAGUGAAUUACUUGUCUCAGUGGUGUGUGACUGACGGCUAUUGUUAUUGAUUGUUUAUAUUUGAUAAGUUAUAUGAGUUUUGUUGUAGGAAAAGUUGUGAAUUUCUGGAAUAGUUAUAAGCUUGGUAUUUCUUUGGUUUCUAUUGAGAGUUGUGUUGUCAAAAUUCCAGGGAUUCAUGUUAUCAUGGAUGUGAAAACAAAGAGGAGAGGUGUUAUUGAGAAUGGCAAUGGAGGGGAGGACAAGGUUAUGGCGAAUUUGAUUGCAAAUGGAGAUGAUGUUGGUCCCCUUGUUAGGCUCUCUUUCGAAAUGGGGCGGCCUGAGGGGCUUCUUCACCAACUGACAUAUGUGGUUAAGCAAAAGGAAGCAGAAAUUGAGGAGAUGUGCAAGACCCACUAUGAUGAAUUCAUCCUUGCAGUUGAUGAGCUUCGUGGUGUGUUAGUUGAUGCCGAGAAGCUGAAAAGUGAGCUCCAAAGUGACAAUUUUAAGUUGCAGCAGGUUGGCAGCACCCUUCUUGCCAAGCUUGAAGGGCUUCUUGAGUUGUAUUCUAUUAGGAAAAAUAUCACUGAAGCUAUAGAAGUGUCGAAGAGCUGUAUACAGGUGCUGGAGCUUUGUGUAAAGUGUAACAGCCAUAUUUCAGAAGGUCAGUUUUAUUCUGCAUUGAAAACUUUGGAUUUAAUUGAGAAAAGUUGCACACAGAAUAUUCCUGCAAAAACUCUCAAAGAGGUCAUAGAGAAGAGAAUUCCUGUUAUAAAGUUGCACAUUGAGAAGAAAAUGUGUAUCCAAGUUAAUGAGUGGAUGGUUGAUAUAAGGAGUUCUGCUAAAAAUAUUGGGGAAACAGCAAUUGGUCUUGCUGUGACAGUUCGUCAAAAGGACCAGGAAAUGCUAGAACAACAGAGGAAGGUUGAGGAGCAAAGUAUUUCAGGACUAGGGGAUCUAGGUUAUUCUUUAGAUGCUGAAGAAGUUGAAGAAGAUUCAGUUUUACAGUUUGAUCUUACACCACUUUAUCGCGCAUAUCAUAUUCAUGAUUGCUUGGGUAUCCUAAACAAGUUUCGUGAAUAUUACUAUACUAAUAGGUUGUUACAAUUGAAUUCAGACCUUGAGAUAACUUCAGCACAGCCUUUUGUUGAAUCAUACCAGACAUAUUUUGCUCAAAUUGCUGGAUUCUUUAUAGUGGAGGAUAGAGUCCUUAGAACGACUGGGGGCCUCCUUGAAGCUGAUCAGGCUGAAACAAUGUGGCAGACUGCUGUAGCUAAAAUGACUUCACUGUUGGAGGAGCAGUUUUCUUGUAUGGAAUCCGCCCCUCAUCUUCUCCUGGUGAAGGAUUAUGUCACUCUGUUUGGGUCUACUCUUAGACAUUAUGGAUAUGAAAUAAGCACAUUUCUUGAUGUUCUUGAUAGCAGUUGUGACAAAUACCACAUGCUUCUUUUGGAAGAAUGCCGGCAACAAACUGUGGAUGUCUUUGGUAAUGAUCCAUAUGACCAAAUGGAGAUAAAGAAGGAAACUGACUAUGAGAAUAUUGUGCUGUCAUUUAAUCUUCAAACAUCUGAUAUCAUGCCUGAAUUUCCAUACAUUGCACCAUUCUCCUCCAUGGUACCUGAUACUUGUCGCAUUGUGAGAUCAUUCAUCAAAGGUUCUGUUGAUUUCUUAUCUUAUGGCAUACAAGUGAAUUUCUUUGAAGUUGUGAAAAAGUAUUUGGACAAGUUCCUGAUUGAUGUACUAAAUGUAACAUUACUUGAGAAAAUCAACAGUGGCAAUAUCACUGUACCUCAACUCAUGCAGAUUGCUGCAAACAUAACUGUUCUUGAAAGAGCCUGUGAUUUUUUCCUUCGACAUGCUGCCCAACUGUGUGGCAUCCCAGUACGAUCAGUUGGAAGGCCUCAAGCUACUUUAACUGCAAAGGUGGUCUUGAAGACAUCCAGGGAGGCAGCUUUCAUUGCCCUACAGAGUCUGGUGAACACAAAGAUAAGCGAGUUUAUGAAUCUUUCUGAUAGUGUUAAUUGGACUCCCGAGGAGACAAAUGAGAAUGGAAAUGACUACAUACAUGAAGUGAUCAUUUACCUUGACUCUUUCAUGUCCCCAGCACAACAAAUUCUACCCUUGGAUUCUGUGUACAGAGUUGGGAGUGGUGCUUUUGAGCACAUCUCAAAUUCAAUAGUGGCAGCUUUCUCUAGUGAUAGUGUUAAAAGAUUUAAUGUAAAUGCAGUUAUAAAUAUUGAAUAUGAUCUUCAGAUCAUAGAAAAUUUUGCAGAGGAGAGGUUCUAUUCUGCUGGUUUGGGAGAAAUGUACAAUGAAGUUAGUUUUAAGAACUGCUUGGUAGAAGCACGUCAAUUAGUCAAUCUUUUGCUAAGUAGUCAACCAGAGAGCUUCCUGAAUCCUGAUAUAUGGGAGAAAAACUAUUAUGCACUUGAAAUUAAGAAGGUGGCUGCCAUCCUUGAUAAGUUCAAGGAUUCUCCAGAUGGGAUCUUUGGAAGCCUUGCUAAUAAAAAUGCAAAGCAAAGUGCUAGGAAGAAAUCAAUGGACGUUCUCAAAAAGCGACUUAAGGAUUUCAGUUAAUAAGAUUUGAAAACAUUCAUGAGGAAGUGGACUAUAGUUGAAGUAUUUUUCUUGUUUCUUGUGGAUGCUUUAACUUCAUAAUGAACAUGUUUUCUAUAUUGUUCUGAUUUGUUUGUGCAUCAUUUGAAUUAAUUUGUCAUGAAAUGUUGUUUAUCAAAUGUUUAUUACUGCUUGGAUGAAGCACUUUUGGAGUUAUCAAGUAAAUUUGCUGGAAUCAGAGUCAAACUUUAGUAUUUAUUUGAUCUUAUUUAUGAGGAUUUGCUGCUAAUAAUGACCAUGAUUUGGUCCCAAAAUAAGAGGAUAUUUGUCUAAUAUAACAAAUUCAACAUUGUUAGUUGUUUUCUUUUCUAUUUACUAAUUCUCAAGCAUUAGGAUAUUUACAUUCUGGGAUAUUUAAAAUGAUUCAAUCAGAAAUAGUAAAGAUCAGUGCAUUUUUUUUCUCCCUUAUUUAUUUUCAUGUUAGUAUAAAAUGCCCUAGGGCUCCAUCAUAAUUUCAAAGCUAUAGUUUAAAGCUAUAUAUGAAUUUGUGCAUUAUUAGUGCCCUAGGUCAACUGAGAAUGUAUUAUUAGUGCAUUAUAUGAAUCUAUAUCACCCAAUUCUUAAUUGAAUAUUCAAGUCUCUUUGACUAAGAGGUUACUCCAUUAAUAUUCCUUCCUAGGUUUCCAUAUGGGUUUGAGCCUACUGCUCAAUGUGACAUAAUUAUAUCAUUUCUUAAUUAAUCUAAACAUUGUAAUGUUAAGUUUAUGACUUUAUCCUUAAUGGUGGGUUAAAAGAGAAUAAUGUGUAUACAACAUUAUUGCAUGGGUUAAAGGGGAUGAUAGGUUAUAAACUAUCAUCGAUUUUGAUCCUCAAAUAAUAUUGAAAGAGUAGGAAGGUUUGAACCACUGUUUCAUCACCGAUGUUUUGGUUCAAAGUUUGUUACAUUAAUAAGCUUUCUAAACUUCUGAUAGGUAUUGUUCUUCUGUGAAUUUUGUGCGAGCAUUCACACUUUUGUAGUUAAAAAAUAUAUAUGUUUUCACUUUAAUAAGUUUAAAAAAAUAGUAUUUAUGAAUUAUUCUUAAUCUUAAUUUUCAAACAAUUUUUGUUGUCUGUUAUAACAUAAGCAUCACUUAAUUUUUAGAAUUUGCCAUAUAAUAUAUUGUACAAGGGUUUUGGAUCAGGAUUUUAAAAGUGUUUUAUAUUAAAGUCUUAUGAAAUUUAAAUAUUGUAUAUAAUAUUGUAAUUUUUUUUUCUUUUAAAUCAUGAUUGGCUUAGGAAGUAGAAGAGCUCAUAAAACGGAUUAUUAAAGUAUCAUUAAAGUAUUUUUAGUAGUGUAAGAUUAAUUAGAUUUGUUGCAUACAUUAUUUUUAUUUUAUAUUUAUUCUUUAUAUUUAUUUAGUUUGCUAUUAUUUUUAUUUGUAUUUUGGAUUUAGUUCAUAUUUCUUUUAUUAUAAAUAAAAGACUUAAUAGGUAUAUUCAAUACAAGAGAGAUUAAUCUCAUACAUAACUUUUCACUAUAUUUAAUAUAUUAUCUAGAGUCUAACAAUCUUUCGAGGAAAAAAAAUUGUGAUUGUCUUUGCCAUUAUACUCGCCAUCGGCACUAUCGUCUAUUGUUGUCACUACUUGAGUUUUAGUUUCAAUCAAAGAUCACACGAUUUUGAUCAUGUUGGUCAUGCAAUUACUGUGUCGUCAACAAUGUCUUCAUCAGAGCUCCUACUCACUUUUAGUGUCUUUUGAAGUUAAGGAUCUGCUCUCUUUUUCUGUCGUGCAUGGUGACAUGUCUCUUCUCCUCUUAGGCAACAAUUUAGAGGGUUGAGGUCGCUCUUUUUCCUCUUUCAGAUUCGUCGUGCGUGGUUGCACGCUUCGUCUCCUCUCAAACAGCUAUUCAGAGCAUCAAUGUUGUUUUAACAAGCUUGAUGCAUAUGAUUUAUAUACACUAGCUUGAGGGGGAGUGUUAGAUACAUUAUCAUUAUCUUUUCUUUAUCUUUAUCUUUAGUUAGUAUAUUAUUAUUUCUUAUUUGAAUUUUGGGUUUAGUCCAUAUUUAUUUUAUUAUAAAUAGAUAACCCUAUGUUUAUAUUCAACACAAGAGAAAUUAGUCUCAUACAUAGUUUUUCACUGUAUUCAACAAGAUUAAAUGUUGUUUUGAAAACUUCUUGAUGAUGUUUAUCUGAAUAGCUUUUUGUUAUCUUUAUUUUAUAUAAAAAAAGAUAUUUACUUUUUGAAAUAUAUUUUUCUUUUUGUCUUAUCUAUAAGUAGAUUUUUUUUUCUUUUUCUAAUUGUUUUUGUGCUUUCUUGUUAUUAUUGUACAAAUUGUUGGAUAAACAGAAGAAAGUAUAAAAGAACCAAGUGAAGACAACCACCAAUUUAAGAUUGGUGUUUCAUCUUUUUAAUUCCAAUACAUUGACAUAAAUACUAAUUUAAAUUUAAACACAUUUUUUUUCAUAUUUUAAAUUUUGUAAGGGAUGAUCGUUCGGUCAAUCAUAAAUCAGACGGUCAACCAUUACUCGAAUCAUCUGAUGAGCUAUUACCGAGACUGGUCAGUCAUGAGUCAGCAUGAUUACUUUAAUGCUGAUCAAAUUAGAGGUAAAGUGUAAUUAUCCUCAUCGUUGAUGUAUAACCAGCACAACCGAGUCUUCAAGAUUGUCCACCUUAUGGACAAGAAGUCGAAGUCCAUGCUGCCUAUCACCUUCACAAAUGAAGACUUCAAAGCCCCUGGCCUUGAUUUCGAUGACCACAUGGUCAUCACGAUUGAGAUAGCCCAACACUUGGAAAACAAGAAAAACGACUUAGAUAGCCUAAAAUUGUGUAAGACUUGAAAAACGAGGCAUAUAGACUGGAGCAUUUGAGUGGGAAGGCCAUCCCCAACACUUGGAACACUUUCCAUUUGAAGUUUAAUUUUAGUUAAACAUUUUACAAAUCUUAUAUAACUUCCCUUUGAAAGAAUGCAAUAAAGAUGUUUUUUAGGAAAAUGCGUGCAAGUGUGGUCUGAGUCGAGUAUUAAUAACUCAGUGAAGGAAAAGUUCACUUAUGCGAAUCCCUGCCAACCACACGUUGAGCUGGUGAAGGAUGAGUUUUGUAAAGAACCUUUGUCGCUUGGUCCAAUAAAUUAAACUAGAAGUUGGUGAAGGAAGAGUUCACCCAAGUGAACCCAUGCUGCACCACUAAACUGGUUAGGGAUGAGUUCACUUAAGUGAGCCUUUACCAAUUGUAUAUUGAGGCAGUGGAAGAAGAGUUAUGUAAAAAAAACCCUACCCCCCGGUCUAAAUAAAUCGGCGAAGGAAGAGUUCACCUUAGUGAGCCCUUAUUGAACACAUGCCUGUUAAGACAAGCUUAUCUACAACAUCUUUGGUUUUGAAGUUUAACAAACAACAUUAAACGAAGUAGUCUUAAGUGUAGUCUGAAACUCUCAAACAGCUAAAACAAAAGAAUACAAAGACUAAGAUUACAAUAGUCAAAACACUAAACGUUACAAGAGCAACACAAGAACACUAAGUAUAGAUUAAAAGGCGUAUACACAACAAGUCUAUUGAAAAGCUGAAACUCAAGAAAUGACAAUUAAUGAAAGAAAUAAAAUGAAACAACAUAAGAGUUAAAACAUUUAAAUCCACACAAGAAAUACUCAAGUAUAAAUAACCAAACACUAAGAAUCCAAAAAGUGUUCGACAAGAAAAGUUACACAAAUAGUGUCACUAGGAAGAAAAGAAAAAGCUACCAAAGGGCGAAGACUCCUCUAACGAAGACAACUGGACAAUCGACAUUAUCACUUAUAUAUGAAGAGUGAUCAGUUUGAAGCAGAGAGUGCAAUAGUAAAUUUGAAAAUGAUAGAGGGAGAACCAACCCUAUUUAUAGUCAUGUAUGCCUUACCUAACAACCACUUUUAAUUGUUAGAUCAAGUCAAAUCCAAUGACUAAAAGCAUUCCCUUUAAAUUCUGACAAGUGUAGGAUCAGAAGUGUCACAUGCUUUCCUCUAGUGGUCAUUAUUUUUAAUACUUCAAAAGGUAUUCGUCCAGUAUGUCAAAUGGUCUAAAUGUUUUAUAAAUGGACGAUUAAAAGACUUUAACCACUUGAUCUGACCAUGACGCCCCUACGGAGGCAGUGUCUUUCCAAUGAAUAGAACUGCACUUGGUCUACAUGGACAACAAGAGGUAUUUAACCAACUUCAAACCCCUUCAUCAAUCAUUUUAGGCUCGGGCUUGGGGGUAUGUGUAACGUAUGAUUGUUCGAUUAGCUACAAAUUGCACCGUCAACCAUUACUUAAACCAUUUAAUGAGCCAUCAGUGAGACCGGUCGACCUAGAAGCAAAGCGCUCGACUAUGAGUGAGCAUGUCUAACCUUAAUGAAGAUCAAAUUAGAGGUAAAGUGUGAUUAUCCAUAAUUGGACCAUAAUUAGGUUAAUGUUAAUCAAAAGCCCAAUCUGAAACCUAUAAAUACAGGUUGGGUGUUGUUCCCUCCACCUCCCCACUAUUUUCAUUUAUUUCAAAAAUAUUUUACACCUCCCCACUAUUUUCUUUUAUUCCAAAAAUACCCUACACCCCCACUAUCAUCAACAAUCUUUCUCUUUCUCUCUCUACAUUAAUGAAGCAUUCACAUUGUUCAGAUUUGAAUUUGUGAUAUACUGCAAAAUAUAAAAUUCAGAGAAAAGAUCAACAUUAGUGCUUCUAUCACUUCCAUUUUAUAUUAAUAGUAAAUAAUAAUAAUAAAUUAAUAUUAUUAUAUACUAACUUUAUAAUGACAAAGAAACUAAAUAAAUUCCAAAUUUUUAACAAAUAACUUUUCUUUUAUAUUUUAAGUAUUUAAUAAGAUUUUUAUAUUAUUUAUCUAAUAAAUUAAAUAUUUUAUUCAAUUUAUUUGAGUCGAAUAUGUUUGUAAGUUAAAACAUAAUAUAAUGUUAAAAAUUAUAGAUAUUAAAUGUAAAAAAGAACACACAUAUAUAUAAACAUUUUUCUAGAAAUUUAGAACAAAAUUUUACCAUUUAUUAAGUAAUUUGAAGAAAAAAAAAAUAUUGAACAACAAAAAUAAGAUUGAAUCAAACUUAUUUAAGGGAAUAUAUCAGAAAUUCAAAUUUGAGUAAUGUAAAUGCUCCAUCAAUGUAGAGAGAAAAAGAAAGAUUGUUAAGGAUAGUGGAGAGGUGUAGGGUAUUUUUGGAAUAAAAGAAAAUAGUGGGGAGGUGUAAAAUAUUUUUGAAAUAAAUGAAAAUAGUGGGGAGGUGGAGGAUCACUUGGGGAGGUGGAGGGGGCAACACCCAUACAGAUUUGGGGUAAAUAGGUAGGUGAUAUGCAUUUACUACAUCAUUAUUUUUUGGGCGUUGCUCCCUGCACCUCCCCACUUGCUCCCUACACCUCCCCCUUCCAUUUUUAUCCUUUUCUCUAUUUUUUCUAUUCCUAUUUUAUCCUUUAGUAAAAUUUUUAUUUAGGGUUAAAAUUUUAUGAUUUCAUUCACUCACCCCCACAUAACCUAAUUAUUUUCAUCUUUACUUUUUCUUCCUAGAAAUUCUUUGUCGUAUUUUUCUUUACUGUGGUGUGAAAUUGUGGUGAUUGAGACAUUGUUUAAAAAUAAUGCCUGAAAGAAUUGUUCAAAGUUCAAUUGUUACAUCAUUGUGUAUGUUCGUGGUGGUGCUUAGAGCUUGUUCGUGGUGGUGCUCAAAGCUUUAACCGGCGAGGUACACCCUUUUUGAAACUUCUUUAAAAGGAUAUGGGCAUCCGUCGAUGGAUAUCGUCAUCCGUUUCAGGUCCAAACAAAUGUGUGACAUCCGUUUAUGCCUGGCGUCUUUUUCCUCCGCACUCAGACAAUUUCAAACACAGAAAAACGAAACCAGACCCACAAAGCAACACAUAAAUACUAUAUUACAUACAUUAAAAAAAAAAACAAACAGAAAUCUAACACAACCUUAUAUCAUGUGGAAGAAACGAAACGAAAAACUAACCUGUCGAACCUGUCGAAGAUCAACAGACAGAAACACACCACCGAACACACCGCCGCCCCUCCACAAAAACCCGCAGCACCGCCGCACGCACAGGCCACACCGCCACACACACCAAAACCUGCACCACUACGAAAUGCACAGAGGAGGACCACGAAAUGCACUGGACUGGGAGAUUUAGGAGUAAGAGGUUAAAAAAAAUGAAACUCAGAAGGGGAACAGGAGUCAAAAGGUGGGGGUGCUAUUACAGUUGAGUGAAAUAGAAAAGGGAAAAGUAAAUCUAGGGUUACUUAAAUAGAGGAUUAAAAAAGUAAAAAAUAAAAUAAAAAAAGGUUAUUUUGGUAAUAUGAAAAAAGUUAAAAAAAAAUGGGGAGGUGCAAGGUGGAAUGGGGGAGGUGAAGGGAGUAACGCCCUUAUUUUUUAAACUAUCAAAAUCAAAUUAGGCUAAUUUUGACAUCGGAGUGCCUAGGGAUGGCAAAAAAAGUCUGUGCCCAAAGAUAAAAUCUGGGGUGUUGCUUCCUGCACCUCCACAGAAUGCUCCCUCCACCUCCCCAUUCUUCUUUUACCCUUCUGUAAAUUUUUAAUUUUCUGUUUUUACUAUCACCAACAUCCAACCAUUUUAUUAAAUCUGCACCUCCACACCCACCACUCCACGGAAAUCAACGAGCCUCCUUGACUCUCUUUCUCUCUCUCCCUCUUUUUCUCUUUGGUAUUCUCUCACUCACCGUCCAUGGCUCCUACUAUUGCAUACAAGUCCUAAUAGCCACCCCUUAUCACUCUCUUUUACUACAUGGAAAUGAAAAGCUUGAGCCAGUAAUCAUUAUUCUUCUAUCGUUUUAAUUACUGGGUAUCAUUCAAACUUCAUUUUAGUCCUUAAUCUUACAGUGUCGCCAAUACCACUUUUGAAAUUUUCCUUCCACACCUUGAGUUUUCGCUUGGUUUUUUAGCUCCUAUGAAAAUUUUCAUUUUUGAAUGGGUGGAUGAAAAGAAGAAUGAGGGGUAGUGGAAGAACAUAUGGCAAUCAAAAGAUGAGGAAGUGAUAGCGUAGUGUGGUCGGCGAAAUAAAGAUUAGAAGGAGAGAAUGAGUACUGGGAGAGUUGAUUUUUCUUCUAGUUGGCAGUGAAGAAAUGGAUGUGAAGAGAAAGAGAGAGAGUGAGAAGGGGGUGGGGGUGGGGGUGAGGGUGGGGUUGCAGUUGUCUAUGAUGAAAAUAAGAGGGAGGUAUUGAUUAAUUAGGGUUUUGACAUAAAAGUAAAAAAAAGGGUAAAAGUUAAAAGUAAAAAGGGUAAUUUUGAAAUUAAAAGAAAAAAUUGGGGAGGUGUAGGCACUGUGUGGUGGUGGAGGGAGCAACUCCCUAAAAUCUGUGAUGAAUAGUUGGUAUCCGUGAAUAUUUACUAUCCACGGGUUGAGGGUAUUAUACUAUUUGUACCGCGGAUAUCCACUUCUCGUAAAAAAUAAAAAUAAAAAUAUAAUUUAUAUUUUAUUAAGUUUAAUUUAAUUAAAAUUAAAAUUAAUUUAUAUUUUAUAAGGUUAAAUUUAAAUAAAAUUAAAUUUUAAUUUAUAUUAUAUUAUAUUUUAUACAUUUUUAUAAUUUUAUUUAAAUUUUAUUUUAAUAAUUUAUAAAAAUAUAUUUUUUAAAUAUUUACGAGUAUUCGCAAGUAUCUAUGAGUACCUGCGAGUUUUAAAAUAUCUACGUGUAUUUUUUAAGCAAAUAUCUAUGCAGGUGAAUUUUUUUUUUUAAGUUGAAUUACAGGUAAACACUAUCCUAGUCCGACCCAACCUAUUAAGAGUGUCUUUUGAUGUAUCCUCCAAAUAAUUUAAACAAAAGAUUAAACUAAAAUCUUAAACUUCAUAAUACCAGACCUUAAAUCAUUGACCUUAAUCCUACAUUCUUAAACAAAUUUUAAUAUAUAUUACAUAAUAAUAAAAAAAUUAUAAUACAUUAAAUUAUUAUAUUAUAGUAACUUAAAAGUAUUUAUCCAAUUUAUUUCAUUUAUAUAAUAAGUGCAUAAUUUGUGUUAUGUUAACCUUUAAUAUCAAUCUUGAUUAGAAAAAAAUACAUAUUUCCUUUGUGUUAGGGUAAAAUUAUCAACUAUGACUAUGAGAAUGAUCAGUUUUCUAUACAUCUAGAUGUUUUAUUAAUCCUUAUCACAUGUAAAUUAAUUCAAUUUUUUUUAAUUAUGACUUUCAUGACAUCUUUUAAAUGUUAAAAUUAAAUACGUUUUAAUUUUGUUUUGCAAUUAUAAUUUUUUUUUCAAAUAUAUUUUAAAAAUUAAUUUUAUUUUUUAAAACUAUUUUUAUAAUUUGACUUAAUAUCUCUAUACAAAGAAAAGAAGCUGUUAAAAAAUGGAUUAGAUUGAAUUUGUAAAGAAUAUACAUGAUAUCUUCAAUGGAUUGAGAUGAAUAAAUGAAAUUUUGAAUCCAAUACAUUAUAAUGCAAAAUAAAUUUUAUGAGGUUAAUCAAUUAAUAUGGUUUAUCAUUCUUAGAUGAGAGAAGGAAAAAAUGAAACAGAUUUUGUGACACUGAGUGUGGGGUGAGAGGUGUUUGUUUCUUUUUCACUCAAUUUUUAUUACAUUGGUAAAUUAAAUAAAAUAUUAAUAUAUUACAUAUAUUUUUAAUCAUAAAUUUAAUUGGAAAUUGAAAUUUAUUUUCAUGUUAAACUUUCAAAUAUUUUAUGUUUAAAUUUUAAAAUUAAAUAAAUAUAAUUUUUAUAAUUUAAUUAUGUUUUUUUACAUAUAAAAUAAUUUAUAAGUUUUAGAUUAAUAUUUAAAUUAUAUAUACUUGUAUAACCAGUAAAAUAUUAAUAUAAAAUAUUAUUUAAUAAAUUAAAAAAAAUAAUACCAUUAAAUUAAAAAUACUGUACUUAUUUUUAUGUUUAAUAAUCAACAUAUACAAAUUAAAGUAGAAAAUAAAAUUAUAAAAUAAAGUCAAUAAUUCAUUUAUGAACUUCAAACCAAUAUUUUACUGUUCGGUUUGAAAUAUAUUUUGCACGUUUUUAUUAUUGCAAAAAUGCUUUUAUAAAAUUACAUUUUUUUUAGGAAAUUUUAAAAUAAAUAAACAUAUUGUAAAUUAUUAACACUAUCUUGUAUUUAUAAUAUAUAUAUAUAUAUAUAUAUAUAUAUAUAUAUAUAUAUAUAUAUAUAUAUAUAUAUAUAUAUAUAUAUAUAUAUAUAUAUAUAUAUAUAUAUAUAUAUAUGGGGCUUUUUAGUUGGUAUAUUUUAAUAGAGUAUACCAAAUUUUAGAUUAAAAAAACCAACUUUAAAUUAAGGAUAUUUUAAUAAUUUUAAAAUUUAAUUUAAAAUAAUAAAAAUAAAAAUUAUUUAUUUUUUAUCUGAUUUGUCUAGUUAUUAAUUUUUAUUUUAUUUUUUUAUUUUAAAAAACAACUACCUUUUAUUUUAUUUUUAUUUUAAAAAAUAAUUACUUUUUAAAAAAUAUAUAAUAAAAAGUAAUAAUUACCCAUCUACAACAAAUAAAUACUUUUUAUUUUUAUUAAUUUUAAAUUAAAUUUUAAAAUUAAUAAAGUACCAUUAAAUUUACGGUUAGUUUUUUUACAAAAACUUUUUUUAAUCUAAGACUUGGUACACUCUGCUAAAGUACCAACUAAAAAACAUUCUUACGUAAAUGAGAAAAUAUAUAUAUAUAUAUAUAUAUAUAUAUAUAUAUAUAUAUAUAUAUAUAUAUUAUAUUUUAAUAAGUAUAUAUAAAUUAUAAAUAAAUUAGUCUCAGGUCAUAAAAUAAUCUUAACAAUUAAAAUCAAAAUCAAUAUUUUUUUAUAAAAGUGUAUUAAUUAAAUUUAAAUAUAUAAUACUAUAUUUAAAUAUAAUUAAUAAUGAUAUUAUGAAUUAAAAUUUACAAUCUAAAAUUUGAAUCAACUAAUUCUAUUUAGUAAAAAGUUCCACUUUUUUCAAAAUAAUGUUUAAAAAAUAUCUUUUCACUUAUAUAUAUUCAAUAUCAACUUGUAUCUUUUUAAAAAGUUGAUUUAGUUUUUUUAUGUGUUAAAAAUAUUUAAAAUAUAUUUUUAUCAUACAUAUAUUGUAUUAAAAAAUUAAUAUUUUUUAGAGUUAUUAAGUAUGUAUUUCUUAAAUUGAUCUUUUUUUAAAAAAAAUUAUAAAACAUAUAUAUAUAUAUAUAUAUAUAUAUAUAUAUUUACAAUUUUAAAAAUUUUUCAAAUAUAAAUUAAAAAAUAUCUUUAAUUAUUUUAUUGGAUGACAUAUCUCUUCGUAAAUAAGUUAUUAACGAAUGAAUUAGGUUGAAUUUGUAAAGCUAAUGAAUUAAAAUUUAUAAAGUUAUUCCUGUUUACUAUUUAUAGGUGUGAGAAGAAAACGAUAAAAUAGGUUAGUAGGAAAAAUGUGGGGUAAUAGAAAAAGAAAAGGAAAAGAAAAUGUUGGGUGAAGUAGUUAGAAAAGGAAAGACUUAUACUAAAUUAGAAAUAGAAAAAGUAAUGGAGGAUGUAUUUAGUAAAUAAUUAUCCUAACUAAAUAAAGUAUUAAACAUGAUCCACUUUCAUUCAUUUUAAUCUAUAUAUUCAAUCAAUAUCCUACUUUGGUAUUAUAGAAACAGAUUUUCAAAGUUUAUGAUUUUUUAAACAUUUAAAUAUGUUUUUACUUCCUAUAUUUUGGGGGCGAUUUUUGGGGACGAUUUUGAUUUUAGUCUCUUUUUCAAAAUUAAGGUACAAUUUAAUCUUUUAACUUUAGAAACCUCUGGUUUUAGUCAUUUUUACCAAAUCUUUUUAACUUUAUUUGCUGUUUCAAGCACGUUUCAUUAUAGCAUUUGGAUUUUUUACACUGUUGGAUACAUUUUUGCUUAAAUGUUAACAGAAAAAUAGGUUUGAAACCACAAAUAAAGUUAAAAAAAUUUGAUAAAAAGGACUAAAAUCAAAGUUUUCUAAAGUUGAAGGACUAAAUUGUACCUUAGUUUGAAAGAGGGACUAAAACCAAAAUCACCCAAAAUAUAAAGACUAAAAACAUAUUUAACCUUUUUUAAAUAGAAAUUGCAAUAACUUUUUACAAUUUUUAAAAUAAAUAAAUACACAAUUAGCUAUUUUUUUUAUUAUUGUCAUAUCCAUAAUUCCAACUUUACAUUAUUUCUAUAAAUCAAUUACAAAUACAAAAUCAUUAAUUUUUAAAAGAAAGUAUUAUGAACUCAAAAUAUAUAUAUAAAAUAUUAUAUUUAAGUACAAUAAAUAAUGUUAUUAUUUUUAAUUGAGUUUUAAUUUUCAAUCUAAAUUUUUAACAAAACUAUUGGAUUUAAAAUGUGUAAGAUACUGUUGAAAAUAACAACUAACUUUCAUCUAAAAACUAAUAAAAAAUAAAACUAGAGGUAAAUGAUUUAAUAUUUUAAUGGUAUUAAUUAAUUUAAUAAGUUUAAUAAAUUAGAAAUAAUAAUAAUAAUUUGAGGGAGAAAUGUAAAAAUAGAUGGAGGCCUUGUGUUUGUAAACUGUCAUUUCACCAUCACUGACAACUCUUACGUGUCUUUAAAAUAUCCACCCUCUUCCUUUCUCUCUCUCCUUCCAGUCUUGUGAAACAAGAAAAUGCUCUUUGGAGGGAGCUGCAUCGGUCUAUGAGCCAAACCAAUCUCAACCGUCCAUCGUUCCAAUCGAACGCUUCUCGUCACUCGCCAAAACUCUUUCUCUUUCCCUUUUUUUUUCUCUUCCUUUCCUCACAGCGGUUUUAAUCAUAAACCCUAGCCGAAACAGUGAACCUCACUCUCUCUGUUCUUCUCUGCCACGCUCUCUAUUAUCUUCUUCUUCUGUUGUUCUCUUUUCAUAUACGCAGAUCUCGGUUUCAAAGAUCCGCCUUUAAAAUUUCUGGAUUUAUUUCAUUUUUUUUCCGUAAUCCUCUUUUCUUGGUUUCUCCUCUUUUUAUGAUUAAUUUAUAAUCGGACAUGAUCCUUGUUCGAUUUUGUAUAGCCAUGGCGUUUUUCUUUUUCCGUAGUACUGGAAACAUCAUGUGAGACUGUCAUCUUCAAGGCAGAAGAAAAAACCAGUUUGGUUCGGUUUUUACCGAGGUUUACCUUACGGAAAUGCCGGCGGCCGGGAUGCGCCGCACGACGAGAGUGUUCGGCAUGAAAGGAGCCGACUCGGCCCGAGUUUUGCGCUCUGGGCGACGGCUGUGGCCGGAUUCGGGUGAGGUGAAGACUAAACGAUCCAACGAUGGUGACGAUUGGGCGGUGACGCCGUCCAAGGUUACGAAACUUGACACUGUCGUGACGCCACGUGGCACUGUGAAGGGGAGGCGCGAAGAACCGGUGGUUAAUGCACCUGACAAGACUAUUGAUAGGAGAUUUGGCAUUGUGUAUGUAAGGAGGCGGAAAGGGUUAAAGAAGGAAGGCUCUAAAAGAAGCGUGGAGGUUUCGCUUUGUGUGCUUUCAGUUGUUGUCAGUCGCACUGCCGGGAAGACUGCUCUGUUUUUGAGACUGUUGGCUUCGGUUGUGAGGUAUGCCAAGAGGGUUCGGAUUUCGCUGAGGAAGCUUUCUGGUUUUUUAAUGUCGGGGACUGUUAAUGAUGUUUUUGCUUUGGAGGGGAUGCAAUUCGUGAAGGUAAAAUCGGUUCUUCUUUAUGUUUGUCUGGAUUAAACCAUCAAUUUGGUCCACAAGACUUUGCUUAAACUAUUGAAAUUAAUUUAUCCUUUAGGGGGAUUACUUUUAUAUUCUCAUUUGUUUAAGGACUAUUUAGAGGAGUGGGUAAUAUUUCAGGGUCUAAACUGUCGGAAACUGAAUUGGUGGGUUUGAUGGGGCAAGUGAAAUUUUUAAUACUAAUAAAAAAGUUGAAUAAAAGCUCAUAGAUGAUUUUGUGGAGUGUUUUGAAGUGGAAAGAAAUGAAUCCUCGUUUUCUUGUUGGUUUCCGGUUCUUAUUUUUCUCACUGGUGUAAAAAUGUUUCUGCAUCUUUUCAUCUUUCAGGGUCCUCCUGCUGUAAACUCUGGAAUAUGCCAGUUCUUUGGGGUCACAAAGUUCGUACCAUUGUUUUCUGUCGACUUUUCUGCUGUUCCUUCUUGUUUUGAGUAUCUGCAUUCUGUGAUGUUCUUUAGAUCUAUGCUUAGGUCAUUCUUUCUUGUAUGUAAUCCAAUAAAUGUGCAUAGUGAUGUUGAGGAUAUUGAAUCAGACGAUGAUUUAUUGGAAUACCAGAAUGAAAAGCAGAUUUCUAGUGAUACCUUCAAAAGGGAACCGUCUGAGACUGGAACUGUUACAUCUGAUGUUAUUGAAAACAAUGAUGUUUUAUCCUUACAUUCUUCUGUCAAGUCCAUCACCAGAGCAGCUGGUCGAAAUGGACAGUAUAGGAACAUGCUGAACUCUAGAGGCAUUCAGAAGAGGAGAAGUUCACUAAGGAAAAGGAAAGCGCGUAAUCCUUCUAUGGGGAGUUUACGGAGAAAUGGAGCAGUUGCUUCUGAGCUAACAGGUGGUGGUAGGAGAAGUAAUAGCCAGUUCUCUGUUGUGACCUCUAGCAAGAAACUUAGAAGUUUGGCGAAUGGUAGCACUACUGGUAGCCUCAAACAAGCAAGUUCAGCUAUAGUCGAUUCAAAAGAAACACUGGGUUUAUCUUCAUGUUCUGCAAACUUACUGGUAUCAGAGAUACACCAAUGCUACAGGGUAGAGGGAGCAAUUGUUACUUUAGAGAUGUCUGCUUCAAAAGAAUGGCUUCUCACUGUAAAGAAAGAUGGAUUAACAAGAAGCACAUUCAAAGCAGAAAAAGUGAUGCGGCCCUGCUCAUCCAAUCGAUUCACUCAUGCAAUCAUGUAUUCUUUGGACAAUGGGUGGAAACUGGAGUUUACCAAUCGUCAAGACUGGAAUGUCUUUAAAGACCUUUAUAAGAAGUGUUCUGAUCGUAAUAUCCCAUCUACUGCUGCCAAAUUUAUACCAGUUCCAGGUGUGCGUGAGGUCUCUUCGUAUGCAGAAAGUAACAGUUUCCCCUUUCACAGACCAGAUACAUACAUAUCUGUCUUUGGCGAUGAGUUAACUAGAGCAAUGGCUAGGACAACUGCAAAUUAUGACAUGGAUUCUGAAGACGAGGAGUGGCUGAAAAAUUUCAACGCCGAGUGUCAAAAUCCUGUGUCAGAUGAUAAUUUUGAGUUAAUUAUUGAUACUUUGGAGAAGGUUUAUUAUUGCAAUCCAGAUGAUCCGUUUGAUGAAAAAUCUGCAACUUGUUGUUGUCAGAACCUUGGUAGCAAGGAAGUGGUAGAAGCUGUAUAUAACUAUUGGAUGAGAAAACGGAAGCAAAAACGAUCUUUGUUGAUUAGGGUUUUCCAGGUAAAAUUUCUAUCAUGAUUUGGAUAUUGCAUUUUGUCUAGGAGGGUAUGUUAAUUGUAGAUUGCCAGUUAUAUGAUGUAUGAUAAAUACUGUCUAUGCACAUUACCUGUUUCCUUAGUACUAAAAAACUGUGCCAUCUAGUCCCACAUUCUCCUGUACUUCUCAGCGCAUUACAUGAACUUAGUUAAUCAGAAAUUGCAGUAGAUUUUAUAACCAGUGGCAUAAGCAGGGAUUUUCCUAAUUGUUUGAGAUAUUUUGUCUUUGUAUAGUGAAUUUUUGAUACCUAUGUUGCCUUGAUAAUCUCUUAUAGCUUUUAAAGCGUUCUUCCUAAUGUUUGUUUGGUACUUUGUUUGGGGCAUGUCUUGGGUAGUGGCAUUGUUUUAAAUUUCGGAAGGUCAACCCCAUUAUAUAGUUGACUUAGUUAAUUUAAUUGUGUCAGGGUCAUCAAUCAAAGAGAGCUCCACUUAUCCCUAAGCCCUUGCUACGAAAACGGAGGUCGUUUAAGAGACAACCCAGUCAGUUGGGUAGAAGCAAUCAACCAAGUGUUUUGAAAGGUAAUUCUUCAACAAAAUGCCAAGACUAUUGAAUUUUCCAGUAGUGGAUUUUCCAUGAACCCUUCUGGUCUCUGUAGCAGACUUUGCUGUUCAUCUUACGCAACAGAAACACUAGUGUUUGAGCUGUUUGUCCAAUGAUUUUGUCUGGGGACUGAUUAUUGAACUCAAAUGCUCAGAACAUUUUCCUUCCUCGUUACAUUGAUUUCAUAAAGAUUCUUCCGUUGGGUCUACUAUUUGAAUGCUAAUAUGGGUCUGUUAUAAGGCUACUGUUAGUUUUGGUUGAGAUGUUUUUUGGUGAGGAUAGAAUGAAGAGUUUUUCAUUCAUCUUUUGUUAAAGUCGUGUUAGACUUUUGUUGAAGUCGUGUUGGAUUUUAUUUGACGGGGUUUUUAAAUCGCAGGUGUCUACUUGUGUAUAAGGAUGAAUGUUGUAAUUGUUUGUCUGAUAUUGUAUUCGUUUUCAGCAUUUGCAGCUGAACAAGAUGCGAUGGAAGAGAAUGCAAUGCUGAAGAUUGAAGAAGCGAAAGCCAAUGCAAACAUGUCUAUGGAAUUAGCCAUACACAAACGCAGAAGGGCUCAAUCUCUUGCUCAGAAUGCAGAUUUGGCCACCUACAAGGCCACAAUGUUAAUUAGAAUAGCCGAAGCAGCUCUUGCCGCAGAAUCAGUAGAUGACGCAGCAGCAUAUUUUCUUGAUUGACGGUUAGAUAAACUCCAAUGCUAAUUAUCAUCACACCACAAAUUUUAUUACAGGAUGGGUCAUAGUAAUCUGCUGCUGUUUUAUUGUAAACACUGUACAGAUUUUUGCUUGUAUGUAUAACUUGGAUUUAAAUGAAGAUCUCAACCAAUCUUUUGUAUGAGUAGGAGGUUGGUUGGUCUCCAUGGAAGGAAGAUAGUACCAAAAGAAUGAAAAUGAAAAAUGAAAUACAGGAUUUCAGAGCCUCAUGACAUGAAGAUGCCCUAUGCCUCUAUUAUUAAUUAUUAUUAUUAUUCUUGUGGAAGCCCAACUUGAGGCCCACACACCAGCUCAAAAGGUAAACCACUAAAAACAAGCCCUGGCUGCCUCAUUCAUAGCUUUGUCUUCCUAGCUGCUAAUGGACAAAUGGUUUUGCUUCCUCCAUUAUAAAAUUCUUUCACAUCUUUCAUUCAUUCUGGAUGAAAAGUGUCCAAGAAUUUUAUUAGGUGAAAUGACCAUGGACAAGUAUCCCUAUCUCCCCUUGCAGAAUUUAGGCUAUGAAAAAUAUGGACGUUGAAGGAAAAUAGUUAUUAUCUCAUUCUAAAUAAUAACAACUUUAUAAAAAAUUAAAUACAUAAUUGGAUAAAUAACAAUAUUAAAGAAGUAUUGUAUUUAAUUAAUAAUUUUAUCAAAAUUUAAUAAAAAUAUCUUACGAAGCAAAACUAUUGUGAGCAUAAGUAUAAGUCAUACAGGCAUUAGCCUAUUUUAGGUUUUCUCAAAAAUAUUAAAAAGAUUUGGUUAAGAUAUUUUUCAAACAGAUUUAUUUAGUUAAGUAAAUGCAAACAAUACUAUGAAAGAAAGGUUACUUACUGACAUGACAUGCAAUGAUAUUAACAUUUUAAACAUUUGGAAAAAAUAUGAACAAACAAUAAAAUAACUUUUAUAACUUUGCAUUAGUUUUAUGUGUGUGUAUAUAUAUAUAUAUAUAUAUAUAUAUAUAUAUAUAUAUAUAUAUAUAUAUAUAUAUAUUUUAAUAUUCUAAUUUUAACAACCGAUAAAAUAAAAUAUUAUAAAAUUAAUAAAUUAAACAUAUUCUCUCAACAUAUAAUUAUAUAGUAUUAAUAUAAUUAUUUUAAAAAAUAAUAAUAAUAAAAUAUAUUUAAAGCAAGUAAAGAAAAACAACUUAAUUUUGAGGAAAGAAACUCUGUUUUCCAUUAAAGAUAUUUCAACACUUACAUUUUAUUUACCAACACCAAUAAAAUGAUCACCAAAAGAAAUAAACAAAUACACAAAGUAACAUUAAAAGAAACAUAAGGUAAACUAAUGUACAAUAAAGUUUUUAUAAAACAACAUAUUGAUAUUAUAUAUAUCCUAUUAUAUUUUUAGUUCAUAUUCUAUUCUACUUUAUCUUAGCUAAAUAAUUAUUAGAGUGACAAGAUAACUUUUAAUGUUUGGACUCUUACAUCAAUUAUUAAUUUAAUGAAACACCACCAUAGAAUCCACUCAUAAGAUCCACAAAAUUAUGUCAAACACCUGCACAAUACUCAUCAUCUUUAAAAAACUUAUCAUCAUCACAAUUUCAUAUAUCAUUAAACCUAUACAUGUUAUCCAUAAAUUUAUCAAUCAUUUUCAGGUAAACAUCAUAAACUAACAAUCAUUUAAACAUUUUCAAAAUCACAUAUUAAGUAUACAAGAAGAGAACAUAUAAUAAAGUUAGACUAUGUUAAUUUCGCUCAACGAGUAGUGCCUAAAAGCACACUAAUCCAAUGACUAGAUAGCUUAACCAACGAGAUUAUCGCUGGAUCUCACAAGCUUAAAUUCUCAUAAAAGUCGUCCAACGAGACUUGUCUAGUUCAACUACUGUCAAUUCAGUGAACUCCUUGACUUUGGUUUUGUCCAAUGAGUAUAUUCUCACCUAGUGAUCACCAAGUCAGUAGCUUUUUUACUUUGACUUCGCUUAGUGGUUAUAUUCUCGUCCAACUACAACCAUGUCAAUAGCUCUCUAACUUUGGCUUCGCCCAUCGAGUUUGCAUAAUUACUCAGUCUAAUAUAUAUCAGAAAUGCUAAAAUAUACCAAAAUUCAAAUUAUGUCACAUUCAUUAACUCAAACAAUUUCAUCUGCAGCACAAAUCAAACAACAUAUUCAAGUUUCAACAUUCAAUCAAUUCAAGUAAAACAAAAUCCUAAUCUUAGCUAUCAUAUUUCAUCACACAACUCAGUCAUGUAGGCAAUUCACAGUAUAAUCAUACGACUGAAAAUUAUAAUAUAUCAAUUAUGCAAAAUUAGUGUAAUUAGCUGAGAGACCGAUGAAGUUGUUUUAAGGAAUCUUAAAUCCCUUCAAGUCCAUAAGAUGUCCAAUCUAUACCUAAGAACAAUAUAAAAACAAUUAGGAUAUACUGAUAUUAUUAUUGAUCAUCAUAGACUCAUAAGAUGACUAAAAUCACACAUGUAAGUGAAAGAAGACUCACGUAUAAUAAAUAAUAAAAUUAAAAAAAUUUACCACAAAGAUUAAUCUUACUCUCUCAAUUUUUCAAUCAAACGAGCAUGAAAAAUAAAGCUCUUAGGUAACUGUAAAAUUUGUUAACAUUUAUCGUUUAUUUAAUUGUAUUCAUGACUCGUAGCGUUUUUCAAUUAUAUCACUGUAUUUUAAUAGGUUAAAAUUUAACUUUUACGCAUGAAAAAUUUAAAUGUGAAUUUAGAAGUUUGACACCAAUAAAAGUUAAAAUUUAACUUUUUAUGUGAAAAUUUUAAAUGCAGAGAGAAAAUUUUAUAUUAAAUAAAAACGAGUACGAUAUAAGAAAAAAUAUCCAAAAACCAAAUGUAUUAUAGGAAAUAAGGUUGGUACUGUCAGAUUUUCUUGACUUAGUUUCAAGAUAUAUGGGGUCCACAAUAUUGGUAUUUUGUAAUUAUCAUUUUCCAUAUGUCUACUCGAAGAAUGCAAAAGCAUUAAAUUAAAGUUUAAUAUUUAUAUUAAUUUUAAUUUUGUAUAUUUACUUAAGUAUUAUGUAUUAUAUUUUGUAUUUAUAGUAAUUUAUAAUUUGAAUGAAAAUAAUGAUAGGAAAACAGUAUAGAUUUAAUAUUAUCAUAAAAAAAAGGAAAUAAAAAAUCUAUAACUAUAUUAUGAAAUAGUGUUUGUGUGAUUACUUUAAGUAUAUCUUUAUUAUUUUUUUAUGAUUACAUAUAUAGCAUAAUAGUAAUUUUAGGUUAAAAUUAUUGAAAGUCUUAAAUAUAAUUAAGAAUAAAAGUGUAUAUAUAUAUAUAUAUAUAUAUAUAUAUAUAUAUAUAUAUAUAUAUAUAUAUAUAUAUAUAUAAAAUGGGUAUCUUAUUAUAUAUAAUCAUUAUUAUUGAGAGAUAGUUGUAUUUUUUUUUAUUUAAAGUAAAAAUAAGGUUAAAUAUGUUUUUGGUCCCAUAAUUUUCAGUGAAAAUUGUAAUCCGUCUCUCUUUAAAACUUUGGCCUAAUUUAGUCUCUCAACUUUAUAAAUGUAUAAAUUUAGUCAUUUUAACUAAACUUUGUUAGGUUUGUUUGAUGUUUCAAGUACGUUUCAUGAUAGUAUUUGAGUUGUUUACACUGGUUAUCACUUUUUUGCUUCAUUGUUAACUGAGAAACGCGUUUGAAAUAUCAAAUAAAGUUAACAAAAUUUUGGUAAAAAGACUAAAUUCAUACAUUUCUAAAAUUGGAGGACUAAAUUAGACCAAUGUUUUGAAGAGGGACCGAUUCCAAUUUUCACUAAAAGUUAAGAGAUAAAAACAUAUUUAACCCUAAAAGUAAUGAUCAUAUAAAAGAUAAUAAAUAAUGUAUAAUAUAUCGUGACAUUAAAAUAAGAGAAGAACUUUGUUGAGUUCUUGGAAAGUUUUUUUUUUUUUUAUUGUUUUUUAAAUAUAAUUAAAAAUAGAAUAAAAUUGUGAAACAUGAAUAUUGUUAUUAGUAUAAUCUAGGCAUGAUUUAUUUUUUGGUCUGACAAUUUACAACAUGCUGCUAACAAACACUUACGCUGUGUCGAACAACAAAUGAACCACAUUUUCUGAUAAGUUUAGUUAAAAUAGAUUUUAAAUUAUAAAAAUAUGAUAGUAAAAUUUAACUCUAAUCUAAUCUUACAAAAUCAAUUUAAUAAAUGAGAUUUUUGUAGAGUAAGUAUUAUAAAUUAGUUUUAUAUCUGGUAUAGAUUAAUCUUCAACCGUUUAAAAAAAAAUUACAAACUGAGGUUGACAAAACAAAAACAAAGUAACAUUAAUCCUAACAAGUUUAAGACUGAAAAGGAAUUAUUAAAGAUACUUAUACACCAAAACUCUUAUCACAUUCCUUCUCUCAUUGCAGCCAAUAAUAUAAAAGGGAAGGAUGUGUAGUUAGAAAAAAAAAGUUUUUUUAUUAAGUUUUAACUUUUAAAAAUCAACCUAAUUAAAAAUAACGUAAUAUUUAUUCGAAUUAAUUCUACACUUCAAAAAAGUCAACAAGGCAAUUGAUAACAAAUUUAUCUAAACUAAUUUAAGGUUAUGUUUUGAAUCAUGCAUACUAAGCUCGUUACUAAACUAGUUUAGAUUGCGUUAGAUUUAUUCAAUUAUAAAUUAAAUUUAAUUAAAUUAAUUUGAAUUCAUCUUCGAUUCAAUAAAUAUCUGUAAAAGUAUUAAUUUACAUAUCUAUAGAUUUAGAGGUUGUGUUAAAUAAUGGGAGGUGUGAUUAUCACACAAGUAGGUGCUAACAAUAACUCCCACGAAUCUUAUGCUAAACACUAUAAUGAUGCAUUUGGAUCAGACGGUUACAUUUGCUGCUAUUUCGAUUCGCCGUACAUUAUGGACCAAAUAAGAAAAACAAAACAAAGAAUGAACAAUAAUUAUAUUUUUUCCUAAGCUCAAAUUAGUAACGCCAAUUUUUUAUGGAUUAUAUAAAUAUAUUUUAUGAUUCAACUUUUACUAUUUCAUGAGUUUUACUAAGUUUUGUUUUUUUUACGUAUCAUAACGUAAUUUUUUUAUUUAUUUUUUUAGUAUUUGGAAUUAGAGAUGGUAUUACUUAUAUAUUUCUUACAUAUAUUCCUAACCUUACAAACCAUCUUAAUUUAAAAAACAACAAAAGUAAUAGUAAUUGAAACCUGGAAUCAAUUAUGAUUUUUCAUCCUCUAAAUCAUUCAACUAACUACAUUACUAAUCACUUACAAGAAGACUUAAUAAACUAAACAACUAAGUCUAAAGAGAAAAAGUGCAAAUCCUAAAAAUUCUCUUCAAUAUUCUCACAACCAUAUAACAAUAAACAAUUGACUUAUUAUUCAAUAAGUCAUAUGUCUUAUAGUGGGAUUAGGAACCGGACUCCUUGUCUGGUGAUACCAUAAGUUAACUUAUCAUGUCAAGAGAAAUUUGAUUGGUUUGUUAGGUUAAGUAGAGCCAAAGUUGUUGCUUCAAUUCACUAAGAGGUUUUGUGAUAAGUGCAAAACUUUUUGUGUCCAAGUCAAUAUAUAAAUUCGAAUGUUGAGUCUAGACGAAUCUUCAAUUGUGAGGUUUAUGUCUUUACAACUCUUUGGAAUUACUUUGUAUGUUAAUAUAAUAUGUUUAUUUGAUAUAUGAUGCAUCUUUUAGUGAAUUAACUUGCUCUCUCUUGUGUUGUAGUUUUUUUGUGUGUUUGUUUUUCUUUUUUUGUAAUGAUUACUUUGUUGAUGUGAAUCGAUGAAGAUACAAGUUUAGAAUUUCGCUAUGAAAGAUAUGAGUCAAUUGUGUGGGAUGUUAAAAAUGGUUAGACUCUCUAGAUUAAUAGUUUUGUUUUAGAUCCAAAGUACAAUGUUUUGAGUUUUAAGUUUUAUAAAUAUUAUAUUGUUAUAAUCUUAUCUUGUAAAUGACUGUAAUAAUAUAUUUUAUAUUGUAAAUUAUCUAUUUUCUAAAUAUUAACUAUGAAAUAUUUUAUUUUUAUAGUUUCUUAUUAUUAAAAUGAAAUGUUAUAAUUGUUUUAUAUUACGAAAUACCUAUACUUAUAAAAUAGAAUAGUAAAUUUACAUUAUAUUUUUAAUGUAAUUUAUUCAUGAAAAUUUGAAAUAACUACGAUCUAUAAAACAUUUUAAAAUUAGCAAACUCAGCCACCAAAGAAAUUAUUAAGAGUAUAAUAUGGAAAUUUAAUUGUUUAAGAUAGAGUUGACUUGCAAUUGCUUAAUAGAAAGGUAAGUUGAUUUGAUCACGAGUGGAAUAAAAAGUGUAGCCAUGAUUGAUGAUUCUAGUAUUUGACAAGGUUCAUGAGUUAAGUCUUUGUCAACAUUAUAUGAACAAUAGAUUCAUUCAUAUUUUCAUGUGAACUUCGAUCAUCUGUUUCUUUCAUGGUCAAAAUAUAAUUCAAAUAAUUAAGAUCAACAUUAAACAUGGAUGCAUGGAUAAGUGAAGAUCUUGCCUUGCACUCAAUGCAAAUAAACAAAUCUCUAUUUUAUUUUUCAUGUUAUUAUCGUAAGAAUUAUACUCAUACAAAGAGGAGUUCAGGUUAAAACUAAUAUAUAUAUAUAUAUAUAUAUAUAUAUAUAUAUAUAUAUAUAUAUUUAUUUGACUUUUCAAAUUUUAAAAUAAAAUGUCAUAAAAUUUCAAAUUUUAAAUUGCACAUCGAUUAUCUUCUGGUUCAACUAAUUAAAAUUUAUUUUCUUUGUGUUGUGUUUUAAUGCAGUUUUGUUUCUUUCUUGGGGUAACGUAGUAACACAUUCUCCCUUUGCUAGCUGCCUCCCAGAAAAAAGCGGCGUCUAUUGAAUUUCUUUUGAUAAUUUCAACCCAAAAACGACCCUGAGUCGUUGCCUAGUUAUCGUUUUAUCGUGAUUUUUUGUUCUUGCGGAUGAAAAUGGAACUAAGCAAGAACUCAGGUUCGGUUUUGGGUUGAAAAGAUCCAUAAGAAAUUCAAGAGACGCAAGCUUUUUUUUUUGGGAAACUAGCAAAAGGAGAUUGUGCUACUAGGCUAUCCAAAGACGUGAACAAAACUGCACUAAAACACAACCACUGUAUUAGACGUCGGUUAAUGUAGACACCGACGUCUAUAGUACCUCUUAGACGUCAGUCAGUGUCAUUUUCGAAGUCUUUAGUGCCUCUUCGACAUCGGUUAUUGCUAAGACCUAUGUCUAUAUGAUGUCUUUAAAUGUCCAUUUUCCCCCUACAUUGACGUUCAUUGAUGUCGGAUCUGUCAGUGACUGACAUCGAAAUUGACGUCGGAUCUGUCAGUGACUGACAUCGAAAUUGACGUCAGUUAUACUAGUUUUCCGACGUCGCAUGGACGUCACCGGCAAUGACGUCGGUUCAGUUGUAGACGUUAAAAGCCCAAAAAAACCGACGUUAAUCAGCGUUUUUGCACUAGUGAAAAGAAACAGACUUGAGCUGUUAACCUCACGGAUAAUAGCAAUUGUUUCUGCUGCAUUUUUAACUAUUCUCUCUUCAUAGUUGAUAGAGUCAUCAUUGGCUGUUUUAACUUUAAAUUCAUCGAGGAAUUGUUCAUCCUGUGAGAUUAAUUUGGUGCUGGAGGAGGAGUCACCCAAAUCAACUCUUAAAAUCUUUGCUUCAUUAGGUGGUUCAACUACAAAGCGAAUAACUAACAAUCUGAUGCCAGGAUGCUCACCCAUACGACCUCCGUAAGCAAGGGCUUCACGAUCAUCACCACCACCAAAGAAAAGCAUUAUAACACGAUAAGAAACAUUACUUACAGAGACAUGGGAGGUACCACCGAGCCCAUGAUCGACAAAAGUUCCAACUGAGCAUGGCGCAUGCUCAAGUGCUCUUUUUUUAACCCAUCAAAAAUCAUUUCUACUGGUAUUUUGUGAACUAUUAACGUUUCUGUUUUAUAAUUAAUGCUCCUUGGAGCAACCAUUUAUGUUUUAUGGUUUUUUUGUUUAAGUGGAUUCUAUUUUCUGUUAGGGAUAAUUAAUUAUCCCCCUGGUUUGUUGCUUUCAUUGGAACCUAUUUAACCAGGAUUCCAGUAGUUUUCCUUUUAGUAAGAGAGAAAGAAAGAAGUGUAUUUCCAACAACACAAUAUGACGAGAAAUAAGAAAGUUUAUAGCUUUUACUCUCAUUCGUUAGUGUGCCUCCUUUUCUAUCUUCCGCUGCCACUCUUUUGCCCUUUUGUCGUUGCUGUUUGCUUCACCAGAGCAACCCUCUGAAGAUCGCAUGCUCUCCCUCUCUUUCUCGCGUCUCACACAAAGUCAAAACAUAUUGAAGAAAUCUGACACGGGGAAGCUUCUAGGAGAAACUUUGUUUCUCGCUUCUAGGCCAGAGGGUGUUUAGGCCUUGGUUAAACUGUUGUGGGUCUACGUCUACAAUCUUAAUAUGAACUAUCCAAACUUUGAUGUUUAUGAAAUGGAAGAAUGAUGACUGCGGCUUCCUUCCUCUCAUCAGUUGCACAAAUGUCUUCAUGUAUGUUAGCCUUGAACAAAGUUUCAGACUUUUGCUCCCAAUUCUCGAAAAACAAAACCUAGCUUGAGAUUAGAGGCAAAUUGAUCACGACAGAUCGGGAUUCAGAUAAUAGAGUGCAUUUUAGCCCUCAACGGUGAUGCCUUCGAUGACGACCAGGUUUACCAGCGACGAUGUGACGAUGAGCGUUGGCAGUGGCGAUUUGGUGGCGAGCCUUGGUCGUGGAGGUGGGCACAGUCCAGGAUUCACAUCGCGUGAAGGGAGAAACGUUGUGGGUGGCAGCGGCGCUUCCAGCACGAGUGACGUUGUAGGCAGCGUUUUCGGCCGACCACGAAGGUGCGCGACAACACUGGUCAAAAGAAGAACCCUUUUUCCUUUUAAAGAGGAGAAACCCUCUGCUGCGACUAGCUAGGAAGAAGAAUGGAACAACUUUUUUUUCUCGUUUUUGGAAAAAAGCCCAAGAGCUUUUCCCUACACCAACACAGAUUUCUUAGACAAGACCAAAGGAAUCAGGAGCAAUCUUCGAGAAGAUGAAGAGAUCAAAUGAAAUCCCUAAUUUCCUAAAGUAAACAAUUAAAUUUGUGUCAUGUCAAAUACUGUUUAUUUAAACAAUAAAGUCCACGUAAUUAAAUAAUACACAUCAACACACUAUCUGCACAAGGAACAACUUAACAGAUAGGGUAAAAUCGGCUCAAUUUUACAAAAAAUAUGACGCAAUUAAGACAGAUGAAAAAAGGCUUAAUAUCACUUUUGGUCCCUAGUUUGGGAGGUUUUGUUCAAUAUGGUCCUACCUUUUUUUUAGUAACAAUUGAUCCCACUUUUUGAAAAAACUGUUCAAUUGACUCCUUUUUGGUUACGACGUCAAUUUUCUAACGGUGUUGGUUACGAAGUCAAUAAGUUCUUUCAUGCAUUCACCUAUCCAAAUGUUAUUUUAACAGUCCUGACAUAAGGUUAUGUUAAAAAUCAUGUCAUCAUCGUAUAUAAUAAGGACUAUAAUAAACAAUUUAAACUUGAAUAUGGGACCACUAUGAACAAAAAGGACUCAAUUGAACAAUUUUUUCAAAAGGUUGGAUCAAUUGUUAUGAAAAAAAAAGGUAGGACCAUAUUGAACAAACCCUCCCAAACUAGGGACCAAAAGCAGUAUUGAACUGAGAUUGCCAUACAAAAAUUAGGAUCAAGGAAGGGUUUAAACCAAUUUUAAAUUAAAACCUAUUUUAAUUUUAUAUUAAAAUUCAGAAAUUAAAAACAUUUAAUCCUAAUAAAAAUAACAAUGAUAAUAUAAAAACAAAAUUUCAUCAUAUACAAGUAGGGUAUCGAUAAAUCUGCGAGAGAAAAUAUAUUUACUAUUUAUUAGUAAAACUAUAUAUACUUAUUAGUAAAUCUAUAAUCGAAUCCAAGGAAUUCAUCAUCCCAACCUGUUUUCUUUAUUAUGUUUUUUGAAUCACAAGUUUUUUAAGCUAUUUUAUGCUAACAAUAAAACUUUGUUAAUUUUAAAAUAUAUAUAACACAAUUUAAGUUUUAUAUAUUCUUUUUUAUUAUAUAGUUUAAUUAUUAAUAUUAUUUAAUGGUUUUAAUUUAAUCGAGUUGAACAAAAUAUAAAGAACUUGUAACUCAAUUAAUAUAAAAAAAGAUUAACAUGUUAACUAAAUUGAAUUUGGUUUGAUAGAAUUAAAAUAUGGUAUUCAAUCAUAAUAAAUUACGGAUGAAAUGACCCAUCAAUGGUUCCCUAGUGUUAGGGCAGCGUGGUGUGGUGUUUGUAGGAAUGACAAAUAUCUGCGGACACGGGUAUUUACGGGUAAAAUCCGCAGCGGGUAGUUAUUAUCCGCGGAUAUUUACUAUUUACAGGUAACGGGUAGUAGGUAUUUUAAUAUCCGCUUUAAAGGGUCGGGUACGGGUAGUAUACUAUCUGACCUGCGGAUACCCGUUAUCCGCAAAAAAUAAUAAUAAAAAUAAUAAUUUAUUAUAUAUUUUUAAUUAAAUUUAAUUAAAAAUAAAAUAAAAUUAUAUUUUAUUAGGUUAAAUUUAAUUAAAAUUAAAUUUUAAUUUAUAUUUAUAUUAUAUUAUAUAUAUAUAUAUAUAUAUAUAUAUAUAUAUUUUUUUUGUAAUUUUAUUUAAAUUUUAUUUUAAAAUGUAUAAAAUAUAUUUUUUUUAUUUUUUAUGGGUAUCCGGGGUACCCGCGAGUUUUAAAAUACUCGUGAGUAUUUUUUAAACGGAUACCCGACGGGUAGCGGGUAGGAUUUUAUCUGAUGGGUCGAGUUGCAGGUAGACAUUAUUCGUGCCUGACCCAACCCGUUGUCAUCCCUAGGUGUUUGAGAGAAUGUAACAAAGAGAGAUAAGCAGAGGGUAGGUAACACGAGGAUGAGAGAAAAACAAGUGUUAUUCUCAUUAACCAAAAAUGGGUAUAUAUGCACACUGGGUACAAGAGUAACUGUGACAGUUCAAGCCGUUUAGGGAGUUUAGUUUUAUUUCCAACACACCUCUCUAAAACUAAGCCUCCUAAAAAUUUAAUUCCAAACUUUACAAGAUUGAUUAUAACAAAUUGUCUCCUUCUUCUUCUUAUAUUUCAACUGACAGUUCUCACCAUCGGAGUUGUUUCCACUUUCUUGUUUCCUUCGUCCCUUCUUUUGAUGCUUAGAUCUCCACUUCUUCCAUCUAUCAUUCCUAAUAUCAGUUGCAGCUAGACACUUAAUAGUUGUGGCUUGUAGAUUCACCUUAAAAGUUCGGUUUUUGGGCAAGAGGGGCUUUGAGCACUAGCCACUACCUUUCAUCAAACACUUUGUUGUGUCUUCGCUGCAUCGUCAUAGUGUAUCCUUUCUCAAGUAGCUGUCCCAAGCUAAGCAAGUUAUACUUCACUGACGGGAACUACAACACAUCAUCCAUAUAUGCAACUCCACCAUUUCUGCACCUGGUUAGGAUUCUGCCGAUUCCUUCCGUCGUUACCGUGUUAUCAUUCGUGAAUCUUAUACUGCUUCUCACUCUCUAAUCAAGAUUCACCAACCAUUCUCUCCUCCUAGUCACGUGGUUUGAACACCCUGUGUCCAAGUACCAAGAUGACUCAUCUUCUGCAUGGCUCAUCUCACUGGGAAGCAUCACAUGGUCUGCUAAUUCUUCACAUUUGUCCAACGCAUGAUUCCCUCUUUCGCCUAACAGUAGUGCUCAUUCGGUUUAACAUCCGUUCGGUCAAAACACAACAACUGUUUGGUUACUUCUUAAACGCUCACUUGGGUUAAGAGCAAUACUUCUCCAUCAGAAUGUGCUUGGUUUGAGAGCAACAUUUCUUAUUUUGAAGGUAAUACUUCUUCUUCAUCAUCUGUUCAGUUUGAUGAUAACACUCCUUCUUCAACAACCUUUUGGUCUGAAGGCGAUACUUCUUCUUCAUCAGAAGCCGUUUGGUUUGAAUACAAGAACCAUUCGAUUUCUUCACCAUAUUCUGCAUUUGAAGACUGUUCAGUCUCUUCAUCAGUUACAUUAGAGGAAGAAGACAUCCACUCAGUUUCUUCACCAGCUGCAUUUUAGAACGUUAAUUGUUUGGUUUCUUUAUCCUUUGCUGCAUGGCCUAUCUUCUCCAAGUACAACACAUGUUCAAAUACACGUUCUUUCUCAGAAUGUCUACAAAUUUCCUCACCUUCAUCAUGUCUUGCUACGCUCAUCAACAAGACAAUAUAUGAGUUUGUGCCACACGUGUCCUGUGCAAGAUUUGCUUUGUCAUUUUUCAUCUUCUUCAUUUUCUCAUUAUGCCAACACUCAGAUGAGUAAUGCUCGUAUUUGCUGCACGUGUAACACUGGACAUUUCUUUUAUCAUAAUUCUUUCUACUUCUUCCUCUCGACUUUCUUCCUCCUAUGCUGCUUUCCUCAUUCUGCUCACUUGCAUCGUCUUCACCAAUUUGUUCAAAGGUUUUCGUACCUCUACCAUCCGUUCGGCCACCGCGUGUUCAUCCUCUUCCUUUUCUAGCUCCUCGGCCUAUAAGGCUUUGUUUACUUCUGGCCUGUAGCGCAUGAAUCGAGUCUUGCAUGACACCAUUUUCUGCAUUUUUCCUUUCAAUUAAUCAUUUCUCAUACGCUUCAAGGGAGUUCUGCAGUUCUUCCACCUUCAUCGUCUCAAGAUCUUUGCUUUCUUCUAUAGCUACCGUAAUGUGGUCAUACUAGGGUGUCAAAGUCUUGAGAAUUUUUGCCACAAUCUUCUUGUCUUUCACAAUCUUGUCGCACGAUCUCAUGGCAUUCACCAAGACUUGCAUCCUCCCGAUGUACUCCACUAUCGUUUCUUGCUCCCCCAUGCAUAGAAGUUCACAUUGCCUCUAUAGGGAUUGCAGACGAACCUUCUUCACCUUGCUGGAAUUACCAUAACCAUCUUGUAGAAUGUCCUAGACUUCUUUGAUACCUUCUGAAAGAUUGAUGCAGAGAUGCAUUAAUGCAGUAACAUUCUCGCUUUGUAGUCAAGUCCCCUGUUCUCCUUGUACUGCUUCUUCAUUUCUUCUAAGGCACCUUUCCAAGGUUCUUGAAAACCUUUCUUUACUAUUUCAUCAACUUCUUGAAACCCCAGAAUGGCAUCCAUCUUCACACACCAGACAUCAUAAUCUUUGCUAUCAAACACCGAGAAGUUGCUUUAGAUUAAUCUUGCCAUGACUUCUUCUCGGAAACUCUUCUUGGGUGAAUGAGUUCUUUGUUAUCCAACACUCUACCAAGUUAUCUAACCAGUAGCUCCUGAUACCACGGUUAACGCAGCGUGGUGUUUGAGAGAAUGUAAUAGAGAGAGUUAAGGAGUAAGUGAUACGAUUAUGAAAGAAAAAUGAGUGUUAUUCUCAUUAACCAAAAAUGAGUAUAUAUGCACACUAGGUAUAAGAGUAACUGUGACAGUUCAAGCCAUUUAGGGAGUUUAGUUUUAUUUCCAAAACCUAGUUUGUGCAAGUCUUGAUUAAGAAAUUUAUUAUCAUUUAUUAUUGAAAAUUAACUGUUUACAUAAAUCGUUUGCGAACCAGAGAAAAUCAUUAUCAUGAUAUUUAGCACCAAGUUGUCACGUGUUUCAUUUUAAUUAAUUUUUAUUGAAUAACAACUUGGGCUCGGGAUGCCCCACAUUCUAUUAGAAAAAAAUUGUUACAACACAUUUGAAUCCGUCUGUCCACCUAAGUCAACGUCACCUUGUCUGAUCGACAUAUAUUUUGCAUUAAUUUUUUAUUAUUAUAGUAUUGUCGAUAUUUAAAUAUAAUUAAAUAAUUUUAUUUAUUAUUUUAUUAAUGUUAUAAUUUAACAUUUUGUUAACACCUUAUAUUAAUGUAAUGACAUAACUAAUUAGAACAUUAUAGAUUUCAUAUUAUACAUAAAUAGAGAUAUAAAUAGAUAAAUUAUAUUUAUAUUAUAUUUAUAGAGGCAUGUGUGGCAUAAAUCUAUAUAAUUCUGUUCUACAUAAUUAUACAAACUCGAUAAGCGAGUAUAUAUUUAUUGGACAACCAUAUACAUGUUAGACAAAGGUAAAGUCAGCGAGUUACUGACUUAGUUGUUGUUGGACGAGAGUAUGGAUGAAACCAAAGGUAGGGGAUUUACUAACAAUAGUCGCUAAGUGAGAAUAAUCUCAUUAAGUGAGACCAAAGUCAGAGAAUUCACCGAUUUAACAAUGGCUCAUUUAGACAAGUUUUGUUGGGUGACUUUUGUGAUAUAUAUUAAGCCUGUUAGAUCCAUUAACGAUCUCAUUCAUUGAGCUAUCUGGUCGUUGAGCGAGAGCACUUUUAAGCAUUGCUCGCUGAAUGAAUAAAUAUUUUCGUUGGAUGACAUUAACAGAGUUUAACACCACUUUUCACAUCUGCUUUUCUGAUUUAUUUUGUUUUCUUUUUAUGAGUGUUAAUGUGAUGGUUAAUUUGUAAUGAUCAUCUAAGAAUUGUUGGAAUUGAUCCUAGGAGGAAUUAAUUGUGGUUUGUUUGGUGUAUGCUUUGACAUAUAGGAAUUUAGAAAGGAGGUAUCCUUGAUAUAUUACCAGUCAUUAAGCUCAUAUAAAGAUGAAUGAAGUGAGAUAGAAAAUGACAUGAGAUCUCUACUAUGAAAUUUUGGUCUUAGACAUGAAAGAUUAACCUCGUGAGUAGUAAGGUGAUAACCCUUGUGUUUAUGACUCUGUAAAACGAGUGCACACUUAUAAUGAAGUUCUAUGUCAAAACAUGUAUCUAGAUAAUUAGGUUAACUACAUGUAUGUUCAUAUGAGUUAUAGUAAUUUAUAAAUGUUAAACUAAUAUGUGAUAUGCUUAAAUUAUUUUAUGAAGUUUUCUUCUUAACACCAGCUUACCUGCCUUCUUGUCUUUUCUAUGUUGUUUCUCUUUUAUAAUGAUAACUUUUCGAUAUGAAUAGAGAAUGAAGUAGGUGUUGACAUGUCUUUGAUAGAAGGCAAAAACUUAAAGACUUAGAUAUUUUGUUAUGACUCGAAGUUGUUAUGUAUAGAAACUCUUUAAUUUUAAACAAUUUUAUUAAUUUAAGUUGUUAUGUUUAUAUUCUAUUUUGAUAUAGUUAUUGUACUGGAUAAUUGUAUUAAUAUUUUGUAUGUUUUUUUUUAUUUAUUUGUUAUAUAUUAUCAGAAUUUAUAAUGUUUUAUUUAAUAAUUUUAUUUAAUAGUUUUAUACUAUUAAAUGAGAUAUUGCAUUACAAAUAAUAAAAAAAUAUUGAAACUGAAACUGAAACUAGCUAAUAGAAAAAUUGAAUAUAAAAAUAAAAUAGUUACUCAUAAAACCAACUUAAUCACAAUUUAUGAUCAACUUAAUCGCAAUUUAUGGUUUGGUUAUGUUUUCAAUCCUUGAUAUUUGAAGUAAAUUUUCUUUUGAUAUCUUAAUUUUAUUUAAGAAAAUUGCAAUUUCUGUAAAUUGAACAAAAUGAAUUUUUAAUUAAACAUUAAAUUUAAUGUACUGAGAAAAAAAAUAUACCCUAAAUCUUAAACUUCAUCAUAAAGUCUAAUAUUUCAAAAAUCUACUAACUAAAAUAUACUUUCUAAAUUUUGAUAACGUUAAACUAUUUUCUUUUAAAUUUUGAUAACCAAAAUCAAAAUUCUUUCAAAUUUCAAAAAAUAAAAACAUAAUUAAAAUUAAUUUAAAAGAUUGAAAAGAUAGAAAUUAUGUUUUAAAAUAACAUAUAAACUGUUUAAAUAAUUCAAAACAAUAUUGUGCCGUAUAUCUAAACUAUCAUACAAUUUAACUCAGGUUGAUGAAUAUUUUUUGAUUUUGAUUUUAUCGUUUAUUUUUCCACACUAAGCAUUGCAAUUGAAUAUUGCAAGGUUUUAUCCAACAAAUAUAAUUUGUAUGUACAUAAAAAUUAUGUUAAAAUAAAUAAUUUUUUAGUAAUAUUUUAAGAUUGAAUGAAAUGAGAAUUGUUAAAUAUUCAUCCUUACUUGUGGGUCAAGUCACGCCACCUUACCUUACGCCAUAAAACAUUGAGUUAUUAGGAAAUAUAUAAUAAUGUAUUCUAUCGUUGAAAAAAUAAACACGAGAAAAGUAACACGUUUAAUUUUAAAUGUGAAAUUAUGGAGAAAAGUAACACGCUUAAAGGUUUUAGUUAGUAUUUUUAUAAAGAUGAUAGCAUUAAUUAUAUAUAUUAUUAUUUUUAAAAAAUCAUAAUUAAAUUUAAAGAUAAUUAAUAUUAAAAGAUCAUUAAAUGGUAAUUAAAUUUAAAGAUAAAUUAAUGAUUAUAUUGAUUAGGUUAAAGACCAUUAUAUAAAUUAAAAAUUAUUACUAUUUAAAAUAGAUUUUAUACUAAUAAAAAUUUAUAUAUGAAAUUAUGGAGAAAAGACACCGUCGUUACAAGCAACACUAAGGGUAUUUUUUCUUAGAGGAAUGAAUUUGAAAGAGAGAAAAUUUAUGAAUUUGAAGAUAUUUAAGAAUAAAUUAAGUUUUGCUUUUUUUUUAAGAAAUUUAGAUAUGAGUGAUAAUAGAUUUGAAAAGAAAGUUUGUGAAAAUUAAUAUAUAAUUUAACAGAUGUGACAAAUAAAAAAAUGUUUAAAUUGAUAAUUUUUUUUAUCAAAAUACUCUAAAUAAUAAAAAUAAUAUAAAUAAUAAUUAUUAAUAAUAUAUUUAAUGAUAAAAAAUAUUAUAAAGAGGAAAAAAAUUAAAAUUAUACUUUUUAAAUAAAACAAUUAAAAUAAUAUAUUUUUUAGGAUUAUUAUUAUUAUAGUUAUUAUUAUUAUUAUUAUUUAUUAUUAUUAUUAUCAUUAUUAUUUACCACAUGCUUUGUUAUUAAUUAUUCAUAUCUUUAACUUUUCUCAUAUUCACAAAGGAGUAUAAUAUUAUUACUAAUAGUAAGGGUUAUUUUGUAAUUUUGUUUUUUAUUUCCCAAAUUCUCUCAUCUUAAUUGGAAUUGUUUUUAAUUUUCAUCUCUUGAAUCCCAACUCACAAAUCUACACAAAUAAGAUGAAGUGAGCAUUAUGUGUCAAUCCUUUUCCUUUUUUAUUUUCCUUUUUCCCUAAUCAUGCUACAUAACAUAAAGAUUUUCAAUAGUAUUUUUACAAAGAUGAUAACAUCAAUUAUAUAUAUUAUUAUUAUUAUUAAAAGAUCAUUAAAUAAUAAUUAAAUUUAAAGAUAAAUUAUUGAUUAUAUUGAUUAGGUUAAAGACCAUUAUAUAAAUUAAAAAUUACUACUAUCUAAAAUAGUAUUUUUGUUAUUAUUAUUAUUAUUAUUAUUAUUAUUAUUAUUAUUAUUAUAAUUAUUAUUAACUACAUGCUUCAUUAUAAAUCAUUCGCAUCGUUAACUUUUCUCAUAUUCAUAUAGACUAGGUAUAAUAUUAUUAAUAGUAAGAGUUAUUUUGUAAUUUUUGUUUUUCAUUCCUCAAAUUCUCUCACCUUAAUGGGAAUUCUUUUUAAUUUUCAUCACUCGAAUGCCAACCCACAAAUCUACACAAAUCAGAUGAAGUGAACAUUAUGUAUCAAUCCGUUUCCUUUUUUAUUUUCCUUUUUUUCCUAAUCAUGCAUUACUUCAAAUGGAACAUAACAUAAAGAUUUUAAUUAGUAUUUUUACAAAGAUGAUAACAUUAAUUAUAUAUAUUAUUAUUAUUAAAAGAUCAUUAUAUAAUAAUUAAAUUUAAAGAUAAAUUAUUGAUUAUAUUGAUUAGGUUAAAGACCAUUAUAUAAAUUAAAAAUUAAUACUAUCUAAAAUAGUAUUUUUGUUAUUAUUAUUAUUAUUAUUAUUAUUAUUAUUAUUUAUUAUUAUUAUUAUUAUUAUUAUUAUUAUUAUUAUUAUUAUUAUUAACUACAUCCUUCAUUAUUAAUCAUUCGCAUCUUUAACUUUUCUCAUAUUCACAUGGAUGGAGUAUAAUAUUAUUAAGGUUAAAACCAUUUAGACGUCUCUAUUUUCGUAAGGUAUUCCCAAUUUGGUCCCCUUCUUUUAAACCUUCCCAAUUGAGUCCUUAUAAGUGCUAAUUUCAAACAAAUUAGCCCCUGUCCUUAAAAUUCAUUAACGGUGUUAAAAUUGUGCAGAGGUGGGUAGAUGACGUGGUUAGAAUUCUCCUUUUGAAGUGUUAAAAUUGUGCAGAGGUGUUAAAAUUGUGCAGAGGAGAAUGGGAAAAAUUUCAACACCUCUACACAAUUUUAACACUUCUGCACAAUUUUAACACCUCAAAAGGAGAAUUUUAACCACAUCAUCUACCCACCUCUGCACAAUUUUAACACCGUUAAUGAAUUUUAACGGUAGGGGCUAAUUUGUUUGAAAUUAGCACUUAUAAGAACUCAAUUGGGAAUGUUUAAAAGAAGAGGACCAAAUUGGAAAUACCUUACGAAAAUAGGGACGCCUAAAUGGUUUUAACCUAUUAUUAAUAGUAAGAGUUAUUUUGUAAUUUUGUUUUUCAUUCCUGAAAUUCUCUCAUCUUAAUCAUAAUUCUUUUUAAUUUUCAUCUCUCGAAUCCCAACCCACAAAUCUACACAAAUCAGAUGAAGUGAACAUUAUGUAUCAAUCCUUUUCCUUUUUUAUUUUCCUUUUUCCCUAAUCAUGCAUUACUUCAAAGGGAACAUAAUAUAAAGAUUUUAAUUAGUAUUUUUACAAAGAUGAUAGCAUUAUAUAUAUAUAUAUAUAUAUAUAUAUAUAUAUAUAUAUAUAUUAUUAAAAGAUCAUUAAAUAAUAAUUAAAUUUAAAGAUAAAUUAUUGAUUAUAUUGAUUAGGUUAAAGACCACUAUAUAAAUUAAAAAUUACAAAUAUCUAAAAUAGUAUUUUUGUUAUUAUUAUUAUUACUAUUAUUAUUAUUAUUAUUAUUAUUAUUAUUAUUAUUAUUAUUAUUAUUAUUAUUAUUAUUAACUACAUGCUUUAUUAUUAAUCAUUCACAUAUUUAACUUUUCUCAUAUUCACAUGGACGGAGUAUAAUAUUAUUAAUAAUAAGAGUUAUUUUGUAAUUUUNUUUUUCAUUCCUCAAAUUCUCUCAUCUUAAUCGGAAUUGUUUUUAGUUUUCAUCUCUCGAAUCCCAACCCACAAAUCUACACAAAUCAGAUAAAGUGAAUAUUAUGUAUCAAUCCUUUUCUUUUUUUAUUUUCCUUUUUCCUUAAUCAUGCAUUACUUCAAAGGAAACAUAACAUAAAGAUUUUAAUUAGUAUUUUUACAAAGAUGAUAGCAUUAAUUAUAUAUAUUAUUAUUAUUAAAAGAUCAUUAAAUAAUAAUUAAAUUUAAAGAUAAAUUAUUGAUUAUAUUGAUUAGGUUAAACACGAUUGUAUAAAUUAAAAAUUACUAAUAGAAUAUUUUUUAUUAUUAAUAAAAAUUUAAAUGUGAAAUAAUAGAGAUAAGAUACUGUCAUUACAGGGAACAACAUUAAAGGUAUUAAUUUGUAUUUUUAUAAAGAAGAUAGCAUUAAUUAUAUAUUAUUAUUAUUAAAAGAUCAUUAAAUAGUAAUUAAAUUUAAAGAUAAAUUUGUGAUUAUAUUGAUUGUAACAUCCCAAUAAAUAUAGCUUGAAAAUUAUCAUUUAUUUUUUUUAGGAGUUUAUUUAAACAAUAAUAAAGAACAGUAGGAGAUAAGCACAUUGGAGUAAAGAGAAUAUGAGAUUUCAUAUAGAAUUUAAAGCUGAACACAACAUAGAAGUUUGAUAGCAUUUACAAUUUAAGGCCGAACAGUCAUAUGACAAGUUCCAGACCAAAUGAUACAUUAAAGGGAUAUCUAGGCAGAACGGUUCUUACAAAACCCGAACCGUACGGUUACAUACUCUAAGUAAAAGUAAAAUCUAAUCUAAGGACCGGACGGUCCUGCACAAUUUUCUGGCAUCACAUCCAAGGAUUGUUCUGUCUGCAGGGCAUCUUCCAAAGUAUCUUCAAGAGCACUCUCUGCUCACACCCAAACGGAUGAUCAUUGCAGUGAAGAGAACAAACCGGACGAUCAAAUACCGAACGACAACAUAAACAAGACAAAACAGAUAAGGGUAAGCUUAUGUAAAUUUAAUUAAUCAUUUUCAACAUACAUAAAAACAUGCAAACCGAACAAUACAUUCAUAUCUACAUAAACCGAACAUUCAACUUUUAUAACAGACCCCUUAGACACUUGUCCAAACUGUAAGAAUAUGUAGCUAUGGUCGUCCUUGCACCGUGGGUGGUAACCUGGAAUAAACCAUCAGUAUUACCGCAACAUGGAUAACCCUUGAGCUUGCCCACGAGGUUAGCCCGUUAAAACACCUUAGGUCAAGGUUGUACACACCGCCCAGGUGUUAACAGAUUGGCAAGCGUACCAAAUCGUAUCAAGUAAUAAUAAAUGGUAAGUCCAAGUAUCGUUUUCCCAAGAGACUCGAAAGGCCUUAUCGUUAAUGUGAAUUAAGAUCGUAAGACUUGAAAAGAAAAAUUAAUUAAUUGGGUAUGAGAAUAAAAUAUGAACAUGCAAAAGAGAUUGAUUCAAUUGACGAGAAGAAAACAAUGGAUGAAUGGAGUUGUUGGGGGUUUACAAUUUCAUCUUAUCCUCUCUCUCUUAUUUACUCCUCUUGAUUUAUUUGCUUGAUUAACUAAUUGUUAUGCAACUUUCUUGGCCUACCCUUAACCCGAUCCCUCGGCGAAAAGAGCCUAUUACUAAUUACUGGCUUGUUAUCCCUAGCCUCCCCUAGCAAUUAAUAUUGCAUUAUAGAGCAGAAGUGAAAAACAAUUGAUCGUCCUACCCCUAUCCCUAGGUGGUAUUGCUUAAUCAAGGAAUUACUCACAAGUUCAUGACAUUACCGUACGUCCCCGUAUCAAUAAAGACAAACAACAGUUAUCGAAUGAGUUAAACGAUAAAAGCAUUAAGCACAGAUGAGAACCCAACAAUUAAUAAUCAAAGCAUAUGGAAAACAUAUAAGUAAUCAAGAGUUUCAAUAAAAGAGAGUAUCAAAAGAUUACAUUGUUUCCCCCAACAACAAUAGGGUUUAGUUCACCAUUGUCAUGGUGAAACUAGAUGAAAAAUGGAAAAACAAACCCUAGAAAAGAUGAAAAGGAGUCUAAACAUCCAAGAGAUCCUCUCCAGAGUUGAAAUUAGGUCUGGCCGCCUCCUUCUGUCAAAAGAAUGCAUCUGAACUCGCAAUAGGACUAUUUAUAGGUGAAGAGCGCAACAGAAAACAGGCUCAAGCCCAGCAGACAACCGCCCGACGAAACAAGUGUGGCGCCCGGCGGAUUCCCUCAAAUCGCGCUACCGCCCGGCGGCAGGGGUCUACCGCCCGGCGGUUUGCCUCUAAUCGCAAAUCGGCCCAACGCCCACGCCAGGUGCCUACUCCUCGCCCUGGACCGCCCGACGGUGUAGUUUGCCGUGGGGCGGCGCGUCGACUCUUUAAUUCUUCAACUUUCUUCUCUUUUCUUGAGUCUACGACCUUUAUCUUCAACUCCAUUCUUCACUUUCUCAAAAUUGCUACAAAACAAUGCAAAACAAGCAUAAUAUCGCUAAAAAUAACUUUUGACUCUCUACAGACUCAUUUAUUGAGUUUUGCUUGAUUCUAAGCUCAUUCUAAGUAGUAAAGGGAGUAAUUUGGUCUAAAAUGACAUAUGAAAAUAACUAUUUUUCAACCUUCAUCACCAGGCUAGAGCCUCCUGCCAUUCUCACCACAUGGUCACUAGCGCUAGUGAGCAUUAGAAUAUCAGGAUGAACACCAAUACAAAGCUGACCAUAUUCUUACUUCACCAAUCAAUCAAACAUAUAGUAUGAACCAUGUAGCUCGCCGCUCUCUACACCCGGGUGGACCUGGCUGGGAUACACUCAACAGACCGCCACCCGAGGUUAGUCCAGUGGAACCACCUUAGUAUAGAAAUACUAGGCUAAAGGACCUCCUCCCAUUCCCACACAUGAGUUACCCUUCUCUACCUGAGAAGGCGUAAUCACGGAAUAUACGGAUAGAGCAGAAUCUGAGUCUGACCAUAGUCAUACUCUACUAAAUCAAUUUUCAAAUCACGAGAUAUUCCUCCCUGGAAUACUCUUAAAUCAUAAUAAACUCGUUCAUCAUUUACUGCCUUUUCUUAAAAUCAGUAUGAACACAAAAUGACCAAACUGUGAUAAGGAAACUGAGUAUCAAAGGAAUUCAAUAAGUGACCGAACGGUUAGAGAAUAAGAGACUGAAUAAAACAAGGAAUUCUAAUAGUUGACCGGACGGUUUGGCAUAGGAUAAAACCGAACCCUUUUGAAAACAAUACAGGUAAACUUAUUCAUGAAGAAGAAUGAAUGCUAAACAACAUAAAUCAUUCUUGGAAGAAAACGAAUACUAAGUUUAUGACUUUAGCCAAAUGCCUUUACGACUAGCAGAAGUUCUCUUCAAUAAAACGAGUGUCAGUGCAAAACCGAACACUCUGUGAGGAAAUCAAGUGUCAGUGUAAGACCAAACACUUUUCAA
RNAcentral lists this long non-coding RNA (50323 nucleotides) under Vigna radiata. Its description in RNAcentral is "long non-coding RNA (VRAD_LNC007789)". The record is from RNAcentral. Lineage: Eukaryota; Viridiplantae; Streptophyta; Magnoliopsida; Fabales; Fabaceae.